This 46890-nucleotide long non-coding RNA is filed under the name Eucalyptus grandis. RNAcentral's name for it is "long non-coding RNA (EGRA_LNC004618)". The record is from RNAcentral. Lineage: Eukaryota; Viridiplantae; Streptophyta; Magnoliopsida; Myrtales; Myrtaceae.
CAGCUUUAAGAUCUCACUCAUAUCACGAUCGUCAACACCUACAAAUGCCAACUCGUGGAACUGUUUGUGCAUGAGCUAACUAAUGUAAAUAGAGCAAAGAGAUUCGUGGCCAUCUGAAGAAGGCCUAGCCUUGAUUAGGCUAUCCAGAUGAAUUCACAAACUCUAUGGCACGUCCUCAAGUUAUAGAGAGAGUAAAUUUGCUCUUAUUGACAGAUGCUUUAUGUCGUCUAAAGCCGUAUAAUAUUGCGAGGGAGACAUAAAUUCUUAAGGACAGGCAUGACUCAUGACUGACCUCUAUUCCACUUGCCAGAAAAGUGUGGUAUCGUGGGUGUAGUAUAUUUUUGUUUGCUUUGUAUUUUUAUUUGUCCAUUUCAGCUUAACAUCACUCUAAUGUUGUACAGUUUAACAAUUUCCCUGCUACACGUGGAAUUUUGAUCCAUAGAAUGUGAACAGUCUAACAGAUGCAAGUGACCCGGCACUUUGUAGUGGCAUAUCCACUUUUGUCACUAAUUAUAUCAUGACAUCAACUAAAUCCAAACUGAAGGACUAAAAAUACUAUGUAAAAGUUAGGUUUUUUUUCGUUGAAGUUGAAAGUUUGCAUCUCAAAAUGCAAUUCGAUCAAAAAAUAUGGACCUAUUGUAAUUUACCCUAUUUUGCGAGAAUAUUGUUACUUUCGAGGGAACUUAAGUGAUUUUAUGUGCACUAACUGUUGAGGAGCUUUUGCGGAUGGAGAUAAAGCUGGAAAUGUAUUGCUAGCUUUUAGCUCGAUUUGAGUAUCCUUUAGUCGUUAAUACUUGACCUUCAAUCAUCAUAGGUAGAGUGCUUCUAGAUGGGACUAGACUAACUAUUGUUACAAAAAUACAUGAUGCAUACAUAGUUAGCGAGAUGUACGUAUAAGUUAUGUUAGAAAAAGUCCAAUGACGUGGAAUUGCUAUGGUGCGGAAUAGUUAAUAUCUUAGUUGGCCAAAAAUUCAUUGCAUUAAGCUUUUGAGUAAAAGUGGUCUAAUUGGAUAUGUUGAAGAGCUUGGACUUUAGCUCUCUCUUGACUUUUGCUAUGUGCUCCUAAGUGAAUAGUUGAUUGGUGGCAACGUGUUGGUGCAAAAGUAUAAUCGGAUUAAGGGGGAAGUAUACUUAACAUUGAGCUCACACGUAAGAGGAGAUAAGAAUUGAUGUGAUGUGGAGUAGUUAAUAUAUCCUAGUUGGCCCAUGAUUUAUAGGUUUAAGCUUUUGAGCAUAUGUUGGUCCAACUAUAUUUGUUGAUAGGUCGAACUUGGGCUCUCUCUUGGUGAUCUCCUAUAUAAUGAUAUUGGGUUUCUACUAAGCGUUACCAAUAGUGGAUGUCGGAUGUAGCUUUGGAUGGACCUAUUCUUCUCCCACAAUAUCGAGAUAGUUUUAGUAACAGGGUUGUGGUGAGGAAAAAAAAUGGUGCUAAGUCUUCACAAGACAAGUGGAUUAUGAGGAUCGGGAGCAGCAUUGGCAAUGAGAUGGUGGAAAUCGACAAGGAAAACAAAUCCAUUUUUCACGCGGUCAGUAAGCCAAGUUAUCGACUCCUGGAAACGAAAGAAUCGAGGUCAAUUUAGAAGUUUCGAAAUUUCAUUGUUGGUUUGCAGCUUGCGAGAAAUUGUUUCUCGAUGAGCGCAAGUGCAAGAGAGGCACUCCAAUGCGAUUGCAACGUUUAGUGUAACACAUCGACACACCAUGUGAGAAGUACUUGCCUACUAGAUUGGCUGAAUUGUCGUUUUUGCAAGCUAAUACUUGUCAUAGUGAAGAAACAACAAACCAUUCAAGGUGAAACGGAGCCAACGCAUGAUCUGUAGUUGUACAUCCCAAGUGUUCAAUGUUGUAGCAUUGGAAGAAAGGAUCAUAUCUGAAACUGAUGAUGGGCAUGAGAUGAGUGGGUUAUGGAGAGAUUGUUUGAUACAGCUUUUCGAUGGUAGCUACGACCGUAAAACUGGAUGCUUCUGCUUUCGCAAGGUAACAUCUCAAAGCUAUCAUUUGGAACCAUGAAGCUGUCCCGUCUAGCUUUUAGCUGCUAUGUGUUACCAAAUGGUUGCAACUAUGAUUAUACCAAACGGGCCUAAGUUGAACUUCAUAGCCUAUACAGGAUCGGGAGGGAUUGGAGAAUUGCGUCAGUGAUACUUCUCUCUCUUCGGUUGAGUGAUUCAUCUCUUCUUCAAAAGGACCUCUAAUUCUCUAGGGGCAGACUUAAGCAAAGAGCGGAAUUGACUCCUGCAUGCAAGCGUGUACCAGUUUCGUGCUAUAGGAGGGUAUAACAUAUGCUGGAUAAGUGAAAUUUGGGAUCAUGUACAAGUCUCACUUAUUUAUCAUGUUCGAGGUGGAAGUCGUCAUAUGUACAUCAAAAGUGGCUGUGUAUGUAUAUAUAAGGACGAUCAUUCUGAUUUGUAUGUAUCGCAUAAUUGAGAAAGAUGAAUCAAAUAACCUUCAUUCCAACUUCAAAAUCUGUAAAGGCGUCAUUUCUCAAUAUGGAGAAAUAGUCCAGAAACCUUGUAGCUACGCAUUAUAGACAGUUAUUUUGAAAUGAUGUGGUGUAUUAUGCUAAUCAACACUGGCACAACUAGCAGUGGAUGCUGAUGCUGAUUUAACUCCCACAAAUUCGCUGAAUGAGAAGGCGAGUUAAAGCAUCUAAGACACAGAAAAACUACCUAGCUUGCUAAAUGAUUUGGACAUAUAGACCAACAAGAAUUGUGAUCGUCAUAUCACUAACGUUCAUCUAACCAAAAUAACAACAGCAACUUGGAUGGAUGCGGAUCGGGAAAAAAAGACCUACUGCGAGACAAGAUACAGGGCACAAGUCAUAUCUUGCAACAUAAUAUCUUCGGAGCAGUUAAAAAAUAGCAUCUCCUGGUCUUAACUCGCCCAACUGCGGAACAGCAUAGAACGAACACUAGGCUAGAUUCGUGCCCAAGGAAUGAAGUCGUGCAUGAUUGUGCCACAAACAGAGCACAACAAGAAAACCACCUAAUGAUCCAGCGGAACCUCAAAAACAAAGAAGGUUAUGAGUAUGUACAAUCAUGAGGCGAACUCCUAUCGGAUUGUUCAAAAACGUCCCUCUUGCUCGAUACAGUUUUAUAGUUUACCGUAUCACUUGAUGAACAGCAAUUUACAAACCAAUCUGUAUACCCUAUGUCCCCAGCAUUACCGUGGAAGAAAUGAAGAAAUCGUAUCCUGGCCCUAGCAUGAAAAACUGAGAAAUCCAUAUCCUACUGAAAGAAGCAUGGGGAUACAGCAUAGCAACAUGUCUUUGUCCACAAACUGCUAAUAUAGGUUUGUUACAACCAUUCAUCAUCAUGCAAAUUUCACAAGCUAAUGAGGGUGAAAAACGACACCCCCUUGUACAAAAAAGAGAGCCAAUCCAGUCAACAGACACGAAACUGACAUUUUACCACUGCCAACAAGAUGAAGUAAGAACAUCAGAGACAUCGGACAAUAUUCACAUCAAACACAGAGGUAAAGAGACUAAAAUCCAAAGCGCUAGUUCCACAUUUGCAACAGCAAUCGAUACAUCAGCACUCAAACAGGUCUGCGGACGCUAUUAUGGGUUGUAUCGGACAUGGGAUCUGCCAGGGCUUCAUCAACGGGUCGGGAAUCUCGGGAAUAUCAAUCACCAGCCCACUGACCACCUCCACGAUCUCGAGUACCGAGUUCAGGGACCGGAGCCUCUCAGUAAGCUCCAUGGCCUGGGCCCUGAGGACAUUGUUUGCCAACUCGACCUCGGCAUACUUCUGCGCAGCAGCAUUGAUACUCACCACGAGCUGAGCGUUAGCCUGCUGCAGUUGCCCCACUUCUCCGACCAAAUCCCCCAGCUGCUUCUGCCUCCUCAUCCGGGAGCGCCUGGCGGAUUCCCUGUUGGACUCCAUCCUCUUCCUCUUCCUUUCAUCAUCGGCCACCCCACCGAGCCUCGGGUCGCCAUCGGAUCCCGAGCUCGCCUGACGCCGAACCGAACCCAUUUUCGAGGGCCUUUCCCCGCGAUCAAUCAAUCACUCGAUUCGGAAAACGACCGAUCAGAGUGUCUCCGCGUGCCGGGAGUUAACAACGAAUUCCGAUGGAAUCAAAGGGAGGCACGAAUCGCGAUCAAUAGGAGAGAGAGAGAGGGGCGUUCAUGAGAAGACGUAGAACCAGUAGAGGAACACCACCGAGAAGGAGUGGACGAUCCGCACCCGGAACAUGAGGAUCGCGUAGUUCAUGACUCGGUUUCCCACAUCUGAAAAACCCUACACCAUCUACCACAAGCGCUCAACCAGUACCCUCCGAUUCUCAGCCCAACGCAACGAAGGGGAAAACGAAAACGGCGACAACGCAGCGGAAAGACAGCAGAGAGAGAGAGAAGGGGGACGUAAACUUAGCUGGCGGCGGCGGCGGCGGAACGCGCGAACCAGAGAGAGGUCGAAGAAGGUUAAGAAAGGAGGGGAGGAGGGGUUUAUAUAGAGGAGGCUCGCGGGCUUCGAUUGGUCUGCCGGGAAAACGAAUAUUCCCAGAAUCUUUUUUUUUUUUGGGUGUAAUUUAUUAGGACGGAUUUUGCUUAGGCGUGUCCCGAUUGCCCAAUCACAUUCGAAAGUGUAAGAUUAUAUUUCUUUCUUUAAUUAAAAAAAACCGAAAUUACCUUUUUAACGAAUCGAUAAAAGAAGAAAAUACACGAGAUGCUUGAGGAAUAAACAAAUGUGAAAAUUUAUAUCGGAGAUGUGGAGGAAUCUAGAGAUCCUCUUCUGAUUUUAUUUUGCCGGUGGUUUUUUUUAUCUUUUUAUUUAUCGAUGGACAACUAAUAUCUGACUUAAUCUAUUUAUAAAUCUCUUUCUUUACGCGACCGUGUAACCAUAAUACGGGGGGGAACAGAUGUUCUUAAAUUUAAAUUGUUUUUGGUGGGGGAGGGGAAGAAUGACGUCAUGGCGCACGUCUGAUGUGGCGUGGGAUUGGUCGGAUCUCAUCGUCGUCGCGGUAGUUGGUGCUGCCCAUGUUCAAUGUAAUGCGCACGUUGUUUGGGACCUUAUCCAGUAGCAUCACACUUUACAGAGCAGGCAAAACCGUGGGUUUGACCGGGUCAAACAUCGAACGUCGGAUCUUCUUGGAUACAUCCCCCCUGGAAAAAUGCACGCGAGCGCCAAGUUGUGAAAAGGAGAGAUAUUUAUUUUAAUGUUUUCUGUUUGGAGACAUUAAUUUCUCGAUACCUUUUUAUUUUCGUAAAAAAGGACUUGUGCAAUGGAAAUUAGUCGGGAUGCGUAAAAUACAGGCUAAAUCUUGGACUUCCAAAAUUGAAAUUGGAUGAAAAGAAUACAUAAGUGAUUUGGUGAAAGCAGAUAGCCGUUUGGAAAUUAAUGGUGAAAAUAUGUAGGUGGGCUCUUGGUGAGAAAAUAGGGAUAGAAAUCAAAGUGGAUAGUGGAUUUGGGGAUUGCAAACAUUGCAUCAUGAAAUAGUACUAGAAAAAUGAUCAUUGCAAUUUGUUUAUUCCACAAAAAAUGAAUGAUUUGAAAAAAAAAAAUUAUUACUGCAAUCCGUUUAUUUCACAAUAAAUGAAUAAUUUGAAAAAAAUGAACUCAAUGAACAAUACUAAUCACAACCAAGAGCCAACUAUCGGCUCCCAAGGAGCAAACCUAGGACACUGUGCCCAAACUUGCGAUCUUGACACUUUAAUCGAGAAUGACAUAUUUCAUAUUAAGGUUAAAAUUACAUGGUACCGGCACAAGAUGCAACAAACUCAAGAUGCAUAACAUAUAUAUAAGGUCGAACGACAUGAGAUUUGUAAUACCCUUUUUUUUUUCAGUCCAAUCAGAGUUAUAAUAUGUUGGCUAAUCAUUAAUGCUACAUCACAUUAAUGCUGCAUCAUCACUACCAAAUUUAGGGUCGAUGACUAGGCAAGGCUUGCCUCACCAGCCCUUGGUCAUAAGGAGAAAAUAUUAUAUACAAUUUUGAUGUCACUUCAGCAAAAUAUUAGUCCAUUCAUCUUGCGGCAUGUGUCACACGUGAGCCCACUUAUCUGUCACGAUCUCUCUCUCCCCUUCCUUUUGACCCAUUUUUCCUUCUCCAACUCUCUCUCUCCCCCUUCUUUUUGACCCCUUUUCCCUUCUCCAGCCUCAAGCCCAAGCCAUUGCCAUUGCCCACCAUGGCAAAGGGCAUGCUUGAAGUCUCCAACGAUGAGCUUGCUGCCAAUGGAUCCCUAUUUCUUUGUGCACCUUAUGGUGGGGAACCUUGAGUUGAAGAUCCCCAUCACUGCCAAGCCCAUUGGCUCUGCCGUUCACCCAUUGUCCUCUCCUCGCUUUUGCACCAACUUUGUUAAAUGAAUAGGAGAUGGCAAGAAAUUUUUCAGUGCGAAAAGCCUAAGACUUUUUGUUUUUGAAGUGAUUAUUUUUUAAUCGUGAAUGCAUGACGUGCCUGUGACACACCCGCAUUGAGAAAAUAUCAAGUGAGAGCAAGAUUUGAUGAAAAAUACUUCAUUAAACCUUUUAAGUUGCAUCCCAAAGAUACGAAAGCCCAAAAUAUGGGGGCAAAAACAAGAGGAAAUAGAAAGAAGCAGGAGAAAGAAGUCGAAUUUGUUCUUAUUUUUGAAAGCCCAUACCCUUAUGAAGCCCAUCGAUCCUCAUCUUGGGCCGUGAGAGACCCGCCGUUCCCCCGACCCGACUUGAUUUUCUUCCUCUCACGUUUUCCCGAGAAAACCCUUCUUCCCCACUCUAGCUUUCUCCGGGAAAAUUUUCCGAUCCGUUGCAAACCGUUCAUCAUCUUCCAUUCUACAACAGAUCUCGACGACCUGCGAGGCUGCGAUGGAGAUUCGCAUCAGAAGAGGCUACGCGUGGGCCAUCGCCGCCGGAUUCAUGGCCGCUAUUGCCGCCAUCUCCGCCAAGUUCUUCUCCUCUCAGGUAACUCAACCUCAUCCGCGCGCUUGUCCGUGCAAGCUAAUCCAUGAUUGUCCCCCGCCGUUCUGCUUUGUCACUCGAGAUUGUGCGAUUGUUCCAGCUAAUGCAAAUCGAAAUCUGGCGUGUGUGUUGGGCUGAAGCACUCGACGUCGCGUGGCGCGAUGUGAGCCGCAGCCGAUAGCCGGUGCGCGGCGAUAUGUCCAAUUUUUGGUUGUUUGAGGAUUAGCGGGACCACUAAUUGAGGAAAGCUCCUGUCAAUUCUACUACUUCUGUGGAGAAGAGUUGAAUAAAUUACCGAGUGGGCAAGAGGGAUGGCGGUGCGACUGCGCCUCGGUCCCAGACAUGCCCAGGGAGGGGUGGGAGUCCUGAGCUAGUUUAUCAGAUUUGAGUCCAUCUUGCCGUGAGGAUUUAGUAUUUAAAGCGGACAAUAUGUAUACAGUAGAGACCGGGGCGUUACAACAAUAUCAUCCAAUGACAGGGGAUCAAGGAGCAAGAAAAACACAUUUAGCAAACACAUGGAACGUGCUCAAAGGGAAACGGGUAUCGGGACGCCACCACGUCAUCGGUGAGCUCACUGGCAGAGCCUCAACGGAACAAUUGGGACGCUGCCACAUCCCCGGUUAGCUGGAGAUCCUCGAGCAAGUCCCAGUCACGAGCGAGUUCUCGGAAAAGCUUUGAGAAGAGCUCACCGGUGGAGUCUCGGUGGAGAUCCUCGAGCGUCAGCCAAGGCGACAACCAUUAUCACAAUUCUGGUGAAGACGAUCCAUGGCGAGCAAGCUACAGGCAUGGCGCUCUUCGCCUAUUCUGGUGAUUACAAUCAAGGGCGAGUGAGAUCGUACCCGCGACCACCCCAGCAGAAAUAUGAUUAUUCUCAUCACACUAGCAGGGGCAAUAUUAUUUAUCAUGAGCAAAUGCACAAGGGGAAAAUGACUUCGCAUUUCUUCAGAAGUCUUCCAAACGCAAGUGCUCAUGUCAACAUUUGCAUCAAGAUUUCUAACUUUUCUGUUUCGAAAAAGUAUAGUUACUGCGAUUUUUCUUUUCGUAUUUUAUAAAAAAAAAAAGUCAAAAACACACGGCGCAUCUCGUUGACCCAUCAUCAACCAAUGCAUGCCGAUCAGCGGGCGCUGUCCAUGUCCCGACCUCAUCGUCACAAGCGAAGAAUGUGAACCAAGCGAUCAACCAUCGAUCUUCGAAGGAGAAGACUUCACAGAUUGGCGCUUCUUCCGUCGGCGAUCGUCCUCAAUUCCUCUCCAAUCGCCUCCCAGCUUCCUCCUGCAUCCUGAAAAUCCCUAUGGCGGCGGCGCUCGUCGGCGGAGCAUUUCUCUCGGCUUUCCUCCAGGUGCUCUUCGAUCGGAUGGCCUCCCGCGAGGUCGUCGACUUCUUCCGGUCGCGCAAGCUCGACAAGGGGAGGCUGCUGCAGAAGCUGGAGGCUGCGCUCCUGUCCGCGAACGCCGUGCUGGACGACGCGGAGGAGAAGCAGAUGACCAACGACUCCGUCAGGAAGUGGCUCGACGAGCUCAAGGACGCUGUCUACGACGCUGACGACCUGUUCGACGAGAUCGCCAUUGAAGAUCUGAAGCGCGAAGCCAGGGUCGAGCCUCGGGCUUUCGUUUAUAAGGUCUGGAGCUUUGCUGCAGACGCUUGUAGGAGUGAAUUGGGGGAUGAGUUAGAGAGGGUUCUGGAGAGAUUGGAGAGAGUGGUGAAGCUGAGAAAAGUGCUGGGCCUAAGGGAAGGCAUUCGCGAGAGGACAGCUAGAGCUUUGCCGACCACUUCGUUGGUCGAGGAAUUGGGAAUUUUCGGGAGGGAGAAGGACAGGGAGGCGGUGAUCGACUUGCUCUUGUCAGAUCUGGGCGAAAAGAACACCAGCGUGAUGGCCAUCGUUGGGAUGGGCGGUCUCGGUAAGACCACGCUAUCUCAGCUCGUGUUCAACGAUGGUGUGGUGAAAGGGAGUUUCGAGUUGAGGGCGUGGGUUUGCGUGUCCGACCAAUUCGACAUCUGCAAGCUGACGGCCACGGCUCUCGAGGAGUUCUCCUCCUCGUCUAAGAAGGAGACCGAAAAUCUCAACCAGCUUCAGCUCCAACUGAAGGACUUCUUGACAGGGAAGAAAUUCCUAUUGGUGUUGGAUGAUGUUUGGAAUGAGGACUCAAAUCUUUGGGAUGCGUUCCUAGUUCCUUUUACCUAUGGAGCAAGAGGCAGCAAAAUCGUCGUGACGACACGAAAUGAAAGUGUCGCAUCGGUUGCUCGUGCCUUCUCGAAAUACUAUUUACAGAAUUUACAAGACAGGGAAUGUUGGGACUUGUUCGCAAAACAUGCGUUUGACCAGCAUAACUUCGAGGCGCGCACGAGACUUGAAGAAAUCGGGCAAAGAAUUGUAAAGAGAUGUGAUGGAUUGCCUCUUGCGCUGAAGACUAUAGGUAGCUUGUUACGCUGUGAGUCUGAUAUCAGGAAGUGGGAAAUAAUUGCAGAGAGUGUCAUUUGGGAUUUGGCACCUGGAAAGAAUAGAAUUCUCCCUGCCUUGUUGUUAAGUUAUCAUUACCUUCCUCCACAACUGAAACGAUGUUUUGCCUAUUGUUCAGUCUUCCCAAAGGAUUGCAUAUAUAAGAAGGACCAGCUGAUCUUACUUUGGAUGGCUGAGGGCUUGAUAAAACAACCUAACGCCGGCAGGACAUUAGAGGAAGUAGGUGAUCAGUGCUUCUGUGACCUUGUGUCUAGAUCUUUGCUUAAUAGAGUAAGUGAUGUUGAAUCGAGCUUCCCGAUGCAUGACCUGGAAGAAAGCGACGUCGCAUUGACCUUUUCGAUGCAUGACCUGGUCAAUGACUUAGCAAGAUAUGUAGCUGGUCGAUCUUUUUUUAGCUUGGACGGAGGCAAUGCACACCAGGUGUCCUCAGGCACUCGCCAUUUGUCAUUUGUAAGAACUCGAUAUGAUGUCGCUUCCAGAUUCAGAGUGUUAGCCGGGGCAAAGAAUUUGCGCACUUUCCUGCCGCUAAACGUGGGUCAUGUGAGAUUUCGCGGCACUGUUUGUUGACUGAUGAGGUACUGCAUGUCCUGUUGCCGACCCUGAGACGGUUAAGGGUGCUAUCUUUGUCUUAUUAUGAGGGAAUCUCUACGUUGCCCAGUUCAAUUGGACGUUUGAAGCAUCUGCGCUAUUUGAAUCUCUCCUAUAAUGAAAGUCUAAGCAGAUUGCCUGAUUCAAUUACAGCUCUAUAUGACUUGCAAACCUUAAUUCUUAGUUACUGUCAGUCUCUCGUUGAGUUACCGAGCAACAUGGGCAGCCUAACCUGUCUGCGUCAUCUUGAUAUAAGGAAGACAUCCCUGAAGAGAAUGCCGCAGGGGAUGAACAGAUUGAAGAAUUUGCAGAUAUUAACUAAUUUCGUGGUGGCCAAAAACGGUGGGACCAGGGUUAGGGAGUUAGGGGAGCUAAGGGAUCUUAUGGGUACACUCUCCAUACAGGGUUUGCAGAAUGUUGAUAGUUACCGAGAUGCUGAGAUAGUCAAUUUGCAGGGAAAGAGGUACUUGAAAAAGUUAGUGCUGGAAUGGGGUUGUGAUGACAAUAUUACGCAGCAAAAUAGCUUAAAUGUAUUGAACAAGCUGCAACCUCAUUGGAACUUGAGAGAGCUCAUCAUUAUAUCCUAUGGUGGUAGGUCAUUUUCCACUUGGCUGGGACACGGUUCAUUCUCUAAUAUGUCAGUUGUGCAUCUUGAAUCUUGCAAGCACUGUGUGUCAUUGCCUCCUUUAGGACAGCUACCAUCUUUGGAGAAGUUGACAAUCGAAGGAUUUGAUGGAGUUACAAGUGUGGGUACUGAAUUCAAUGGUAGCAACUGUAUACCUUUUCAGUCACUUAAGUACUUGGAAUUUGCUGACAUGUGCAGCUGGAAAGAGUGGGCUUUUUCUGCAAUAGAAACAGGAGGUCUUGCCUUUACACAUCUACAGAAGCUUUGUAUUAGAAAUUGCCCGCAGUUGAGUGGAGGUUUACCCAGCCAUCUCCCUUCUCUAACAGCCUUGUCCAUUAAAGAGUGCCCACAGCUAAUGUCUUCUCUACCAUUUGCACCGCUUCUCCAUAAGAUCAAUUUGGAUGAUUGUGGAAAGGUUUCUGGAGUUGAGCCUCUCCUAAAUGGCAUUGAGUUACGAGAUAUGGAAAUCGGGAAAUUUUCAACCCUUCCCUUGAGGUUUCUUCCUCCUACCAUGACAAGACUCUGUCUUCUAUACAGUCAUGAAAUAGAGUUGCCAAUGGACGGAUGCUAUGAGUCUCUCCAAAAUCUAAGCUUGAUGCGGAGCUGUGAUUCACUUAUAUCCUUUCCUCUCGAAAUUUUCCCCUCGCUUAAGCAUAUUUACUUGACGGAGAUUAAAAAAUUGGAACAUCUUUCAAACUCAGAUGGUUUAUCACUUCUUCUCCAUUCGAUGGACAUUAGAAAUUGUCCUGAAUUUAGAUCUUUCCCUGCGGGAGGAUUGACUGCCCCAUGCCUCACUUCAUUAUGGUUGGUUGAUUGCCCUCAUCUAUCUGCCAGAAAACAUGCAGGCUCUCCUUCCUUCGCUUCAGUCACUAGAUGUAUUCUCAUGUCCACAACUCGAGUCAUUUCCCAAGCGGGGUUUACCCUCCAACUUGGUCAGGCUUUCACUCUCUAAUUGUGACAAGCUCAUCGCUAGCCGCAAAGACUGGGGUCUUCAGUCACUAUGCUCUCUUGAAACUUUUGUCAUUGGGAAAGAGAAAAAUAUAGAGUCAUUUCCUGAGAUAGGGCUUCUGCCGACCUCUCUUACCUCUCUAAGGAUCGUUGGCUUUAAGAAUCUGACAUCCCUGAACUCCAAAGGGCUUCAUAGCCUGAGCUCCCUUGAAAACCUCUUCAUUAGCGACUGUCGUAAGCUCCAUUCCUUCCCAAAAGAGGGACAAAUUCUGCCCGCUUCUCUUACCACUCUGACGAUUCAUCAUAUGGAUCUAAAAUCACUGGAUAACUUAGGGCUCCACCGCCUCACUUGUCUCAAAGAAUUUGACAUAUUUAGCUGCCGAAGUCUUCAAUCCAUGCCAGCGGAGGGCUUGUCAUCCUCCCUUUCCAAUCUAUUUGUCCAUGGGUGCCCUUUGCUGGAGAAAAGAUGCCAGCGGAAGAAAGGAAAAGAUUGGCCCCUAGUUUCGCACAUUCGCUGCAUCGUAAUUGAAGGUGUGCUCGUCACAUGAUCGUAUAUCUUGCUUUACAAUCCCUCCUUUUACCAAGAUUUCACUCAGGUAUCUCCCUUGGCCCUACACUAAGUAAGCCAUUUAUUUAUUCACGACAUACUUCAGUUGCUUUGUGGUCAAGCACUAACAUCUGGCUGUAUUUGCCGCAUGCUACUCUAAUAACGCUUCGCAAUGGAGAUUAUUUGUAGUUUCACCGGCUUUCCAUUGUUGUUCCUACGAUUGGGCUGCAUAAUUUCUUUAUUGGUUGCCAAGUUAUUUAGCUGGAGCGUCUGCUUUUCCCCUUCUCCAUUUUCUCUAUAUAAAUCACACUCCCAUACUUCAGCUAAGCAUCUGUCAUGGUCUUCAUAGUCUCACCUGGGAAUGAUUAUUUCAUUGCUACCUUAUGUCGCCAUCAGAUUAUUUCAGCUUUAAGAUCUCGCUAUUGUCAACACCUACAAAUGCCAACUUAUAGAACUGUUUGUGCAUGAGCUAACAAUAGUAAAUAGAGCAAAGAGAUUCAUGGCUACCUAAAGAAGGCCUAGCAUUGAUUAGGUUAUCUAGAUGAAAUUAUUUUUUCUCGAACUCUGGCACUUCCUCAAGUUAAAAAGAGAGUAAAUUUGUUCUUAUCAACAAAUGCUUUCUGUUGUGUAAAGCUGUAUAAUAUUACGAGGGAGACGUAAAUUCUUGAGACUAGGCAUGACUCAUGAUUGACUUGUAUUACGCUUGCCAGAACAGUGUGGUAUCAUAGGUGGAGCAUAUUUCUAUUUGCUUUGUAUGUUUAUUUGUCAAUUUCAGCUAAAUAUCACUCUAAGGUUGUACAGUUUAACAAUUUCCCUCACUACAUGUAGAAUCUUGAUCCAUGGAAUGUGAAAAUGGAACAGUUUAAGAGAUGCGAGUGGCCCAGCAUUUUGUAGUGGCAUAUCCACUUUUUUCACUAAUUAUAUCAUGACAUCAGCUAAAUUCAUCAAACUGAAGGUCUAAAAAGAGUGAAAAAGUUAGGUUUUUAUUUGUUGAAGUUGAAAAUUUGCAUCUCAAAAUGCAAUUCAAUCAAAAUAUAUGGACUUGUUGUAAUUUACCCUAUUUUGAGAGAAUCUAGUUUCUUUUGAGGGAAUUUAAGCGGUUUUAUGUCCAUUAACUUUUGAGGAGCUUCUGUGGAUGGAGAUAGAGCUGGAAAUGUAUUGCUAACUUUUAGCUCGAUUAGAGUAUCCUUUAGUUGUUAAUACUUGUCUUUCAAUCAUUGCAGGUGGAGUGCUUCUAGAUGGGGCUAGACUAACUAAUGUUCCAAAAAUACAUGAUGCAUACACAAUAAGCAAUAUAGGCACAUGCUGUGUUGAGAUGCAUGUAUGGAUUGUGACGCAGGAUUAGUAUGGUGUCGAAUAGUUGAUAUAUCUUAGUUGGCCAAAGCGUUUGAGUAAAAUUGGCCUAACUGGAUAUGUUAAAAGGUUUGGACUUGGGCUCUCUCUUGGCUUUUGCUACGCGCUCCCAAGCCAAUUGUUGAUUGGUGGCAACCUGUUGGUGCAAAAGAAUGCUUGGAUUAAGGGAGAAGUAUACUGAACAUUGAGCUUACACAUAAGAGGGAGAUAAGAAUUGAUGCAGUGUGGAGUAAGAGAAAGACAAGAAUUGAUGUGGUAUGGAGUACUUAAUAUCUCCUAGUUGGCCCAUGAUUCAUUGACUUAAGCUUUUGAGUAUAUGUUGGGUCCAACUAUAUUUGUUGACAGGGUCGAACUUGGGUGGUUUCUUGGCGAUCUCCCAUGGGAUGGCAUUGAAUUUCUGCUAGGCACUACCAACAUGCCAUGGUGGAUGUUGGAUGCUGCUUUGGAUGGACCUAUUCUUCUCCCACAAUAUCAAGAUAGUUUCAGUUAGAGGGUUGUGAGGAAAAAAAAAUGGUGCUCAGUGGACGAGUGAAUUAUGAGGAUCAUGAGCAACAUAGGCAGUGGGAUAGUGGAAUUCGGCAAGGAAAACAAAUCCAUUCUUCAUGCUGUGAGCAAGCCAAGUGAUUGACUCUGGAAAUGUCAGAAUCGAGCUCAAUUAGGAGUAUCGAAAUUUCAUUGUCAGUUUGCAGCUUGUGAGAAAUUGUUUACCAAUGAGUGCGAGUGCAGGAGAGGCACUCCAAUGCAAUUGCAACGUUUAGUUGAAUGUAACGACAUGCCAUGUGAGAAUUAUUUGCCUAAUGGUUUGGUUGGAUUGUUGAUUUAGCAAGCUGAUACUUCUCGCAAUGGAGAAAUAAGAAACCAUUCAAGGUGAAACGGAGCUAACGCAUGGUCUGUAGAGGUACAUCCCAGGUGUUCGAUGUUGUAGCAUUGAAACCGAUGAUGGGCAUGAGAUGAGUGGGUUAUGGAGAUAUUGUUUGAUACAACUUUUCGAUCAUACCUGUGGCCGUAAAACUGGAUGCUUCCGCUUUCGCAAGGUAACAUCUCAAAGCUAUCAUCUGGAACCAGAAAGUUGUCCCGUCUAGCUUACAGCUGUCUCCGUGUGUUACCAAAUGAUCGCAACUAUGAUUGUACCAAAUGGUCCUUGAGUGGAGCUUCAUAGCCUAUAAAGGAUUAGGAGGGAUUGGAGGAUUGAUUGAGUGAUACUUCUUUCUCUUUGGUUGAGUGGUUCUUUUCUUCAAAAGCACCUCUAAUUCUCCGGGACACACUUAAGCAAAGAGCGGGAAUAACUCGUGCAUGCAAGCAUAUACCCGUUUCAUGCUAUUGGAAGGUGUAACAUAUAAGUGAAUUUUAAGGUCAUGUACGAGUCUUAUUUAUCAUGUUCAAGUUUGAAAGUCGUCAUAUGUAAAUCAACAGUGGCUGUGUAUGUAUAUAUAAGGACAAGCAUUCUGAUUAGUAUGUAUAACAUAGUCGAGAAAGAUGAAUCAGAUAACCUUCAUUCCAACUUCGAAAUCUGCAAGGACGUCAUUUCCCAAUAUGGCGAACCAGUCCAGAAACCUUGUAGGGAAAUGACGAACCAAUCCAGAAACCUUGUGGCUACGCAAUAGACAGUUAUUUUGAAAGGAUGUGGUGUAUUAUACUAAUCAACACUGGCACAACUAGCAGUAGAUGCCAAUGCUAAUUUAGCUCGCACAAAUUCGCUGAGCAAGAAGGGGAGUUGAAGCAUCUAAGACAGAAAAACUAACUCGCUUGCUAAAUGAUUUGGACAUAUAGAACAACAAGAAUUGUGAUCUUCAUAUCACUAGCGUUCAUCCAACCAAAAUAACAACAGCAACUUGGACGCGGAUUGGGAAAAAGACCUACUGCAAGAGAAGAUACAGGACACAAGUCAUAUCUCGCAACAUAAUAUCUUCAAAGCAGUCAAAAAAUAGCAUCUCCUGGUCUCAACUCGUCCAACUGCGGAACAGCAUAGAACGAACACUAGGCUAGAUUCGUGCCCAAGGAAUGAAGUCGUGCAUGAUUGUGCCACAAACAGAGCACAACAAGAAAACCACCUAAUGAUCCAACGGAACCUCAAAAACAAAGAUGGUUAUGGGUACAUAAAAUCAUGAGGCAAACUCCUAUCAGAUUGUUCGAAAAUGUCCCUCUCGUUCAAUAAAGUUCUACAGUUUACCGUAUCAAUUGAUGAACAGAAAUUUACAAACCAAUCUGUGUACCCUAGGUCCCCAGCAUUCCUGUGGAAGAAAUGAAGAAAUCAUAUCCUGGCCCUAGCAUGAAAAUCUGACAAACCAUAUUCUGCUGAAAGAAGCACGGGGAUACAGCAUGGCAACAUGUCUUUGUCCACAAACUGCAAAUAUAGGUUUCUUACAACCAUUCAUCAUCAUGGAAAUUUCGAAAGCUAAUGAGGGUGAAAACGACACCCCCUUGUACAAAAAAGAGAGCAAAUCCAGUCAUCAGACAGGGAACCGACAUUUUACAACUGCCAAGAAGUAUGAACAUCAGAGACAUCAGACAAUAUUCACAUCAACCACAGAGGUAAAGAGAAUCUAAAAUCCAAAGCGCUCUUUCCACAUUUGCGACGGUAAUCGAUACAUCAGCACUCAAACAGGUCUGCAGAUGCCAUUAUGGGCUGUAUCGGACGAGGGAUCUGCCAGGGCUUCAUCAACGGGUCGGGAAUCUCGGGAAUAUCAAUCGCGAGCCCACUGACCACCUCCACGAUCUCAAGCACCGAGUUCAGGGACCGGAGCCUGUCGGUAAGUUGCAUCCUGAGGACAUUGUUGGCCGAUUCAACCUCAGCAUACUUCUGCGCAGCCGCAUUGAUACUCGCCACGAGCUGAGCGUUAGCCUGCUGCAGUUGCCCCACUUCUCCGACCAAAUCCUCCAGCUGCUUCUGCCUCCUCAUCCGGGAGCGCCUGGCCGAUUCCCUGUUGGACUCCAUCCUCUUCCUCUUCCUUUCAUCAUCGGCCACCCCACCGAGCCUCGGGUCGCCAUCGGAUCCCGAGCUCGCCUGACGCCGAACCGAACCCAUUUUCGAGGGCCUUUCCCCGCGAUCAAUCAAUCACUCGAUUCAGAAAGCGACCGAUCAGAGGGUCUCCGCGUACCGGGAGUUAACAACGAAUUCCGAUGGAAUCAAAGGGAGGUACGAAUCGCGAUCAAUCGGAGAGAGAGAGAGACGGGCGUUCAUGAGAAGACGUAGAACCAGUAGAGGAACACCACCGAGAAGGAGUGGACGAUCCGCACCCGGAACAUGAGGAUCGCGUAGUUCAUGACUCGGUUUCCCACAUCUGAAAACCCUAGACCAUCUCCCACAAGCGCUCAACCAGUACCCUCCGAUUCUCAACCCAACGCAACGAAGGGGAAAACGAAAACGGCGACAACGCAGCGGAAAGACAGCAGAGAGAGAGAGAGACAAAGAUAGAGAAGGAGGACCUAAACUUAGCCGCCGCCGCCGCCGCCGCCGCCGCCGGCGGAACUCGCGAACCAGAGAGAGGUCGACGAAUGUUGGCCAAGGAGGGGAGAAAGGGAUUAUAUAGAGGAGGCUCGCGGGCUUCGAUUGGUCCGCCGGGAAAACGAAUACUUUCGGAAUGUUUUUUUUGGGUGUAAUUUGGGGGUUUAAUUUUUUUUUUUUUUUAUCGUAAGGGGGUUUAAUUUAUUAGGACGGAUUUUGCUUGGGCGUGUCCCGAUUGCCCAAUCACAUUCGGAAGCGUGAGAUUAUAUUUCUUUCUUGAAAAAAAACUGAAAUUACCUUUUUAACAAAUCGAUUAAAGAAGAAAAUACAUGAGAUACUCGAGGAAUAAACGAAUUUGGAAAUCUAUAUUGGAGAUGUGGAAGAAUCUAGAGAUCCUCUUCUGAUUUUAUUUUGUCAGUUGUUUUUUUUUUAAUCUUUUUAUUUAUCCAUGGGACAACUAAUAUCAGACUUAAUCUAUUUUUUACUUUUUAGUACUUUUUUUUUUUUUUUUUGUGUUACCCUCUUUCUUUACGCAACCGUGUUAACCACAAUACAUGGGGGAACAGAUGUUAUUAAAUUUAAAAAAAAAAAUUGGUGGGGGAGGGGAAUGACGUCAUGGCGCACAUCUGAUGUGGCCGUGGGAUUGGUCAGAUCUCGUCGUCAUCGUCGUAGUUGGUGCUGCCCAUGUAAUGCGCACAUUGUUUGGGACGUUAGCAAGUAGCACCACACCUCACAGAGCAGGCAAAAACCGUGGGUUUGACCGGGUCAAACAUCGGACAUCGGAUCUUCUUGGGAUACAUCCCCCUAGAAUAAUGCACGCGAGCGCCAAGUUGUGAUACGGAGAGAUAUUUAUUUUAACGUUUUCUGUUUUGAGACAUUAAUUUCGCGAUACCUUUUAAUUUUCAUAAAAAAGGACUUGCGCAAUGGAAAUUAGUCGGGAUGUGUGAAAUACGGGCUAAAUCUUGGAUUUCUGAAAUUGAAAUUGGAUGAAAAGAAAAUGCAUGUGAUUUGGUGAAAGCAGUGACCGUUUGGAAAUUGAUAAUGAAAAUAUGUAAGUGGGUUCUUUGUGAGAAAAUAGGGAUAGAAAUCAAAGUGGAUAGUGCAUUUUGGGAUUGCAAACAUUGCAUCAUGAAAUAGUGCUAGAAAAAUGAUUAUUGCAAUCGUUUUAUUCCACAAAAAAUAAAUGAUUUGAAAAAAAAAUUAUUACUGCAAUCUGUUUAUUCCACAAAAAAAUGAAUGAUUUGAAAAAAAUGAACUCAAUGAACAAUACUAAUCACAACCAAGAGCCAACUACUGGCUCCCAAGGAGCAAACCUAGGACACUGUGCCCAAAGUUGCGAUCUUAACACUUUAAUCGAGAAUGAUAUAUUUCAUAUCAAGGUUAAAACUACAUGGUAUCGGCACAAGAUGCAACAAACUCGAGAUGCAUAACAUAUAUAAGGCCGAACGACAUAAGAUUUGUAAUACUUUUUUUUUUCAAUCUGAUAAGAGUUAUAAUACAUUGGCUAAUCAUUAAUGCUGCAUCAUCACUACCAAAUUUAGGGUCGAUGACUGGGUGAGACUUGCCUCGCCAGCCUUUGGUCAUGAGGAGAAAAUAUUAUAUUCAAUUUUGAUGUCAAUUCAGCAAAAUAUUAGUCCAUUCAUCUCAUGGCACGUGUCACGCGUGAGCCCACUUAUCUGUCACGGCCCUGUUUGGUUCAGCUUUCUUAAGGGGGAAAAUAUUUUAUGUUUGGCAACAAUUUUCGAAAGCUACUUGGCCAAAUGUCAGCAUUCCCAAUGCUGAAAGCCCAAUGCUAAUGUUGGGGAGGACCAGCUUUGAGCAUUUGAUAUUUCGGAAAUGCUCGUUCACUAUUCAUCUUCUUCCCCAUUCUUCUCCGUUCGUCUUCUUCGUCUUCCUCGCCGCUUGAGAGUUCGGCUUCUCUGGCAGCCGCCAUCGCCACGUGGGGGUCUCGCGUCCUCGGUGACCAUCGCCUAGGGUGGCGGGAACCGCGACUUAGGCGGGGUCGCUUGGCAAGCGCGAGCCAAGCGACACCACCUGAGGUCCGAGUGACCAGGCGAUGCCACCUGAGGUUGAGAUCUGAGGCCGCCAAAUUUGGCUGUUCGGCAGCCAAAUCUGGUGGUCUUGAGGCCAGAUCUGGCCAUCAGAUGGCCAUAUCUAGCCUUCGCGACCUCAGGCCGUCAAAUCUGGUGGUCCGGCGGCCAAAUCCAGUUGGCUAGCGGUUGGCUGACCGUCGGAAUUUGAUUUUCUAACUUAAAUAUAAAAUAAAAAAUAGCAAAAGUCAAUUACAAAGGUGAAUUUUACCAAACGGUGUUUAUGCUAAGUUGCUUUUCAAUGUUACAAUUUACCAAACGGUGUAACAUUUCCGCAAACCUCUUUAUCUCAAAGGUAUUUGCAUUUUCCUAAUGGCAUUUCCUCAAAGCUGAACCAAACGGGCCCACUUAUCUGUCACGAUCUCUCUCUCCACUUCCUUUUGACCCCUUUUCCCUUCUCCAACUCUCUCUCUCUCCCCCUUCUUUUUGACCCCUUUUUCCUUCUCCAACCUCGAGCCCAAGCCAUCGCCAUUGCUGACCAUGGCAAAGGGCACGCUUGGAGUCUCCAACAAUGAGCUUGCCGCCAAUGGAUCCCUAUUUCUUUGUAAACCUUAUGGUGGGGAACCUUGAGUUGAAGAUCCCCAUCACUACCAAGCCCGCUGGCUCUACCGUCCACCCAUCGUCCUCUCCUCGCUUCUGCACCGACUUUGUUAAAUGGACGGGAGAUGGCAAGAAAUUUUUUUGAGUGCGAAAAGCCUAAGACUUUUUGUUUUCGAAGUGAUUAUUUUUUAAUCGUGAAUGCAUGACAUGCCUGUGACACAUUCGCAUUGAGAAAAUAUCAAGUGAGAGCAAGAUUUGAUGAAAAAUACUUCAUCAAACCUUUUAAGUUGCAUCCCAAAGAUACUAAAGCCCAAAAUAUGGGGGCAAAAACAAGAGGAAAUAGAAAGAAGCAGGAGAAAGAAGUAAAAUUUGUACUUAUUUUUGAAAGCCCAUACCCUUAUGAAGCCCAUCGAUCCUCAUCUUGGGCCAUGAGAGACCCGCCGUUCACUCGACCCAACUUGAUUUUCUUCCUCUUACGUUUUCCCGGGAAAACCCUUCUUCCCCUCUCUAGCUUUCUCCCGGAAAAUUUUCCGAUCCGUUGCAAACCGUUCAUCAUCUUCCGUUCUAUAACAGAUCUCGAUGACCUGCGAGGCUGCGAUGGAGAUUCGCAUUGGAAGAGGCUACGCGUGGGCCAUUGCCGCCGGAUUCAUGGCCGCUCUUGCAGCCAUCUCCGCCAAGUUCUUCUCCUCUCAGGUAACCCAACCUCAUCCACGCACUUGUCCGUGCGAGCUAAUCCAUGAUUGUCCCCCGCCGUUCUGCUUUGUCACUUGAGAUUGUGCGAUCGUUCUAGCUAAUGCAAAUCGAAAUCUGGUGUGUCUGUUGGGCCGUGUCCCUAAUGUAUCUCCGGCUGAAGCACUUGAUGUUGCGUGGCGCAAUGUGAGCCGCAGCCGAUAGCCGGUGUGCGGCGAUACGUCCAAUUUUUGGUUGUUUGAGGAUUAGCGGGAGCUCUAAUUGAGGAAAUCUCCUGCCAAUUCAACUACUUCUGUGGAGAGUAGUUGAAUAGAUUAGCGAGAGGGGAGGAGGGAGGGUGGUGCGUCUGCUCCUCGAUCCCCAGACAUGCCCGGGGAGGAGAGGGAGUUAUGGGCUAGCUUAUAAGGCUUUGGUCCAUCUAACUGUAUAUACGCGUUUUCUUGAGGUAAUAUGGGCUAGUUUGAGAAGAACAAAACCGUAAGGACUUAGUGUUCAAGGCGAAAAAUGUGUACAAUGGAGACCUAGCCAUUACAACAAUGUCAUCCAAUGGCAGGGGAUCGAGGAGCAAGAAAAACACAUUUAGCGAAGCAUGGAACGUGCUCAAGGGGAAUUGGGUAUCGGGACAUCGCCAUGUCACUGGUGAGCUCACUGGCAGAGCCUCAACGGAACUAUCGGGAUGCUGCCACAUCCCCAGUGAGCUGGAGAUCCUCGAGCAUGUCCCAGUCACAAGCGAGUUCUCAGAAAAGCUCUAAGAAGAGCUCAUCGGUGGAGUCUCAGUGGAGAUCCUCCAGCGUCAGCCAAGGCGACGACCAUUAUCACAACUCUGGUGAAGACGAUCCAUGGCGAGCAAGCUACAGGCAUGGCGCUCUUCGCCUAUUCUGGUGAUUACGAUCAAGGGCGAGUGAGAUUGUACCCGCAACCACCCCAGCAGGAAUAUGAUUAUUCUUAUCACACUAUCAGGGGGCAGUAUUAUUCUUGAGGUCUUGACAAUGUCAAUAGUUACGUCCACGACGACGCGUCCGUUCCAUCAUAUCUGCCCCCGCAUACUUCUUAUGGUUAUCACUGUCCAUCCGAGUCUCCCCCGAAUAAUUGUGUGGUGAUGUGAGAUGCCUAAUAUAGUGUGCCUAUAGUUGCUUUUACUAAUAUCUGGUGAAGUACGGGAUGAGCUAGGGGCAUGGUUGAGCCUUUGGUUUGUUAGCUUUCGCUUGUGAAUCUCAGUGAAGUUUCUUGUUUUAGUUAAUGGUUUCGAACGUGAUGGAGAUUGAUUGAAAUGGCUUUGCCAGUUAAUGAAGGUUUAUAUAUUUAUUUUAUGAAGUUUCAUCUAGUUCGUAGAUGCUAAAAAGUUCUAUUAAAAUUUAACUAAAUUUAGGGGCACUUAAUUCCAUCAAUUGUCUACGGUUCUACUUCUAUGGACAGAUGUUCCCUCACCAAUCAUUUAUCACAAAAAUUAAACCAAAUGAAAAACGAUUUAUAAAAAUAGUUUAAAAAAGAAAAAGAAAAUUGGCCGCGCCAUUCUUGAAAAUUCCUCAUUCUUCAAGGAAGACCUUUAAGGAUCCGAGCUUUCUUGUGAUCCUUCGUGUUCAAACUUCAAGUAGCUUUGAAUGUGCAGAUAUACAUUGAAAUUUGUCUUUCCAGAUGCUUAUGGCAUCUCCAUUGAGAUGCAUAUACAUGGAGGAGAAACUUUUCAAGCUCAUCCAUUUAAAAAUUGGGCUCCUUUCUUGAUGAAAUUCAGUGGACGAAGACGAGAGAAAACGUUUCCAGUUAAAAAGAUCAAAACCGAAAAUAAUCUCCACUCAGUCCGUCGGAAGUAAUUGAAUUGUUGAUAUAUCGACAUAAAAAUGAAGCAGGAAAUGUUAGAUUAAAUGUAAACUAAAACCUUAUGAUCCCGAUUAUCAAUCACAGAUAAAUUCGUACAGAAUUUGGGAUCGAUUUGCUGAAACGUAAAAAUCAACAUACCUCCAGUCAUCGAUAAAAAUUUGCAAAAGCGGAAAACUUCAAAACCUUGGACGGAUUCACGCAACACGAUCCGAUCUUCAAUAUGAAGAACACCAGAUCUGUACGUCAUGUUCUACUAGCCAAUACCCCUCAAAUCUGAUGGUGCGUUUUCUGUAAUGAUAGGGUUUGAAUUAGACGACUUGACAUUUUAUUCCGUUUAUUAUGUUAUAGACAUCUUCCAUCAAGACCGUUAUGGUAACAUAUUAACGAGCAAAUAUCAUGUAAUAGAUGUGGGUGAUAAACUGGGCAAUAAAUCGGAACUAAUUGAGAAUAUAAUAUUGGGAUCAUAUUUAGAAUAAUAAAUAUAUUACAACAUUCUCCCACUUGAUCCCAAUAUUCCAUUAAAUGAAAUAUUAACUCAAACCCACAUAAACUUCGUACUAAAAUAAAACACAUGAAUCAUGAUAAUGAGUCCUCUUAGAGUAAGUAUUAUCUUUCAUGUAUCACAAUGCAUUUCAUUAGCUCAUAUGCGAUCAAAUAACUUAAUGAAUAAAUCUUCUGUUUACUCUAGGUCAAAUGUAAUUGUUUCUCUCAGAAUAAUUGAAUGUAUACAAGUGUAUUGAGAAAAACAUUAUAAAUGAAUAAAAGUCUCACAAUUCUUUCAUAUAAUUUUUUUUUUACCUAAUUGGGCCAAUACCCAUUCUAAAUACAUGAUUCUUAUAACUCAUUGGUGGCAUGCCUUUAGUUAAAGAAUCAGCUAUCACCAGUCCAGUGCUUAAGUGUUCUAUGAUCACUUUCUUCUCUUUAACACGUUCUCUGAUGACUAAAUACUUGAUGUCGAUGUGCUUGCUUCAACUACCACUUUUGCGGUUCUUAGCCACAAAAACUGUAGCUGAAUUGUCGCAAAAUAUUCUUAAUGGCCUAGCAAUGGAAUCCACAACUCUAAGCUCCGAUAUGAAACUUUUCAAUCACACACCAUGUGAGGUGGUCUCAAAAUAGAAAACAAACUCUGCCUCCAUAGUGGAAGUGGCAACCAAGGUCUGUUUUGCACUCCUCUAGGAUACAGCUCCACCAACAAAGUUUGAAUUCGAGUAACCAACUACCUCCAAGGUGUUCGUCCGUCUAUACAUAAGUAUGUAUCCCUUUGUUCCUUGAAGGUACCUCAUUACCUUCUUUGCAGCUCUCCAACGGUCCAUACCUAGAUUACUUUAUAUAUACUCAACAUUCCCAUAGCAAAGGCUAUGUCAAAUCGAGUGCAAACUUAAGCAUAUAUCAAGCUUCUGACAGCAGAAGCAUAUGGAAUGUUCUUCAUUCGUUCCCUUUCAAAAUCGUCCUUUGGGCAUUGGUUUAAAUUAAACCUAUCACCUUUCACAAUCGGUGCUAUAUCUGGUGAACAAUCUUUCAUCCGAAACCUCUCUAAGACCUUAUUGAUAUAGGUUUCUUGAGAUAGUCCUAAUAUAUCUCGAGAUCUAUCUCUAUGGAUCUUAAUGCCAAUGACAUAAGACGCUUUAUCAAUAUCCUUUAUAUCAAAACUCUUAGAGAGAAAUUGUUUCCCUUCAUAUAACAACCCCUUAUCAUUGGUUGUAAGUAAAAUGUUAUCUACAUAUAGCAUAGGGAAACAAAUUUUGCUCCCAUUAACCUUUUGGUAUAUACAUUGAUCAAUGAUAUUCUCUAUAAAACCGAAUGAAGAGAUAACCUCAUGGAAUCUUAAGUACUAUUGGCGGGAUGCUUGUUUUAAGCCAUAUAGAGACAUUUUAAGCUUGCAUACCAAAUGUUCACCAAUAUUAGAAAAUAAUCAUUCUAGUUAUUUCAUGUAAACCACUUCUUUCAAUUUUCUAUUGAAGAACGCCAUUUUCGCAUCUAUUUGAUGUAACUUCAUAUCAAAAUGAGCAACUAAUGCCAAAAUAAUACGAAGAGAAUCUUUCUUGAAUACAGGAGAAAACGUCUCCGUGUAAUUGAUCCAUUCCUUUUUAGUGAAUUCCUUGGCAACGAAUUUGGCUUUGUAUCUCUCAAUAUUGCCUAAUGAAUCAUUCUUAGUUUUGAAGACUCAUUUACAACUAAUAGCCUUCACACCAUCGAGCAAUUCAACUAUAUCCCAGACUUCAUUUGAUGCCAUAGAAUUCAUCUCUUCCUUCAUGGCCUUGUACCAUAAAUUGGAUUUAUCACAACUCAUGACUUGUGAAAACGUCUCGGGAUCACUUUCAGCUCCAACAUUAUAGUCAAUUUUUUGUAGAUACACAAUGUAAUCAUUAGGGAUUGCUGAUUUCUUCAUUCUAGUAGACCUUCUUAAUGUUGCAUCAACAUCCUCCUGAGGAGUUUGUUGUUCAACUGAAAGUUCAAUAGUAUCUGGUAAUUGCUGAAUAGUUGGGUCUAUCGAAUCAACAUUAGUAAGUUAUGGAUCUUCAAUGAUUGAUUGCUCAACGAUCGGUUGAAUUGAAGGUGUAUUGUAAACAUUAACCAAUCAAGUACCUGAGGUAGAAGGUUGAGUAUCUAAAUGAUCUUCUUCGGGAACAAAGUCCCUGAAUUGAUCGUUCCCAUUAACCAGGGCAUUCUCAAGAAAUUUAACAUUUCUUGAUUCCACAAACCUAAUGGUGUGAGAUGGACAAUAAAAUCUGUAUUAUUUGGACUUUUCGGCAUAUCCAAAGAAAUACUCAUUUAUAGUCUUUGGAUCUAACUUUUUUUUUUCCUGUGGAUUGUAGACUUUUACUUCAGAUGAGCAUCCCCAAACACGUACAUGUCACAAACUCGGUUUUCAACAUUUGAAUAACUCAAAAGGCGUCUUUGGAACAGCCUUGGUUGGAACUCGGUUUAAUAUGUACACAACCGUUUUAAGAGCCUUAGUCCACAAAAAUUUAGGAAGUUUGGAGCUGCUGAGCAUACUCCGCACCAUGUCCAAUAAUGUUCAUUUUUUUUUCUGCGACACCAUUUUGGUCUAGUGAACUAGACAUAGUGUAUUGAGCAAUAAUCUCAUGCUCUUCAAAAAACUUCGCAAAUGAACCAGGUGCUUAUCCAUCUUCAAUGUAUCUACCAUAAUAUUCCCCACCUCUAUCUGAUCUUACGAUGCCGCAUUGUUUUUCUACUUCGGUUUUAAAUACUUUAAAGGCAUUUAACGCUUUGUGCUUAUUACAAAGCAUAUAAAUACAUGAAUCGUGAACAAUCGUCUAUGAAAGAAAUGAAGUAUCUGACCAUUUGAGUCCAUAUCCGGACUACAAAUAUCUGUAUAUAUGAUUUUUAAUAUUUUUGUAUUCCUCUUAGCACCUUUCUUUGACUUGUUGGUACAUUUUCCCUUUAUACAAUCCACACAAGUGUCAUAAUUAGUAAAAUCCAGAGUAUUAAGUACUUUAUCAUUUACUAGUCGCUUAAUUAUAUCAAUAGAGAUAUGUCCCAACCUCCGGUGCCACAACAUAGAUGAAUCCUCAUUUACAGCACAUCGUUUUAUACUAGCAUUAUCGUGAACAUGCAUCGCAUUAUUAAUUACAUUGUCUAGUAAAUUAAUUCGAAAGAGACCGUUAAACAAAAUACCACUCUCAACAAUUUCAGAUUUAUACGAUAAAUUGAAUGUUGAAUAUAAAAAUUCAAAGGAGUAUCCCUAAGGCACAAGUCUUGAAACUGAAAUUAAAUUCCUAGAAAAACUAGGAAUAUAAAAGGUCAUUUCUAAAAUUAAAACAAAACCACUACCGAGAACUAAUCUGCAUGUCCUAAUAGCUUCCACGCGCGAGCACAUCUUGUUUCUUGAAUAGAUGCUUUGUUCACUUUCCACUUGUUUCCACCGGUUCUAAAAACCCUACAAGGAAUUCGAAAUGUGGAUUGUAGAACCAGAAUCAAUCCACCAAGUGUUGUGACCCACAUCAACCAUAUUAGAUUCAUAACAAACAGAUGAGAGUUGGUUAUCUUUCUUUUUUAGCAGGCCUUAAAUUUGGCACAAUUCUUCUUCACGUGCCCCUUCUUUUUACAGAAGAAACGCUUGAAUUUCUUUUUAAUGCCAACUCGGGGAGGUAGAGGCAUGUUACCUUUUCCCUUUUGCUUGCCUUGCUCUUUAUACUUAUCAUGUGUUGUCAUAUGGUCAUGAGUUCAUUGAUUGACCAUUUAGUUUUAUGUGUAUUGUAAGAGAUUUUGAAAUGGGCAUACUCUUGUAGGAGAGUAUUUAGAAUAUAAUAUACAAGAAAAAAAUAUGAUAUCCCAACCUGAAGAUUUUUCAGCUGAGCUGCAAUGUCCCUCAUCUUCAUGAUGUGCUCACGCGCACCUCUUACACUGGUAAGUUUCAAAGAUGAGAACUUCAUAAUCAGGGUCAUGGCAUGCACCUUCUCUAAAGACUCAAAUUGUGCAUUAAUAGCCUCCAGCAAUUUCUUGGCAUUGUUAUGCUGAAUGACUAAACCACGAAUACUAGCAGAGAGUUUUAUCUUUAUGUACAUCACACUGAGACGGUUGGACCGCUCCCAUUGUGCAUAAUGUGUAUGUUCAAUAUGAGUACUAUUUUCAAUAGAUUCAGGUGGUUCGUCAGACCUUAGUACAUAAUCAAGAUCCAUGCACCCCAAUUGAAGAAGAAUCGAUUCCUUUCAUUCUUUAUAGUUAUUCCUAUUAAGCUUGGAAACAAUUAUACCAGAACUAAUCGUAGGUGGUAAAACUGCAUCAUAAUUAAAGAAAACUUAUGUAUCAACAUAUUUGAGGCAAAUAAACUUAAAUAAAACAUGUUAUAAAAUAUGGAUCACAUAACAUCAAUAACUAUCUGUGGGCUAAGUUUCUAAUUUAAAUUGAUUCAUAAUUACUUAAUGAUGAAACUAUCAAAUUAUAUUCUCUUCUUUAAUCCCUAUGGGUAACUUAAGAAAGAUAAAAUAAUAUUUCAUCAUAAUUAAUCACAUUAAUAUAUUGAAAAUUCCCGUGGGAUAAAAUUCAUAAUAUUAAUAUGACUAAUCACAAUUAUAAUAUUUGACUAUAUGUGAUCCAAAGGCUUUUAAUGUAUAUAACUUAAUAUAAUCAAAGAUGCUAUGGCUAAUCUUUAAUUAAUUAAAUAUAUACGGAUCACUAGACAUUUAAUUUUAUGAGAAAAUAUUCAUAAAAUUGCACGUUAGGGUAAAACGGUAAAAUCACGUGCAAAGGGGUAAAACUGGAAUUUUGCACGCAAGGCCGGAAUAGGAAUUUUACUUUUAAGGGGUAAAAUAGGAAUUUGCACGCGCCUAAAGCCUUCUUUUCGGGCUUUCUUCUUUUCCGCCGUUCCUUCCGCCGCGACUAACUUUGUUCUGCUGCCUGGAUUCCUCCCACAGCCCAUGUCCGACCAAAUUGAUUGAUGGGUUUCGAAGAGAACGUCGGGACGAACGAAUAAUUUCAAGAUCAGGCAAAAACGACCAACAUAUUGACUGGAAUUAAGCCUAAAACAAUCUGCCCUAAAAACCCUAACCACCAAAAUUUCACUGUUCGAUUAACCUCCGAUGAUCAAUAAUAUGCCGAAAAAUUUAAGGGCUUUUCUUCCUAAUGGCAGUGUGGCCAUGCAGAUCCAUUAUCGUGUGGUGGGUCGCCCAAAUUUGGCCAAAAUUUUAAAUUCUGUUCUAAGUCAUAAAAAUCCGAAUUUACCCAUACAUAAUUCAAUGAAAAUAAAUAAAAAUUCCAAAAAUUUCACCAAGGUAGAGAUUGUAAACAUGCUUUGAUACCAACUAUUAGAUUAAAUGUAAACUAAAACCUGACGAUCCCAAUUAUCAAUCACAGAUUAUUUCGUACAGAAUUCUGGAUCGAUUUGCAGAAACGUAAAGAUCAACAUACCUUAAGCUCUUCACCAAAAAAAAACAUACCUUAAGCCAUCAAUGAAAAUUUGCAAAAGCAGAAAACUUCAAAACCUUGGACGGAUCCACGUAGCACAAUCGAUCUUCAAUAUGGAGAACACCAGAUCUGUACGUCAUAUUCUAUUAGCCCAUACCCCUCAAACCUAAUGGUGUGUUUUCUGCAGUGAUAGGGUUUGAACUAAACGACCUGACGUUUUAUUCCAUUUCUUAUGUUACCGACAUCUUUCAUUAAGACCGUUACAGUAACAUAUUAACGGGCAAAUAUCACGUAAUAAAUGUGGGUGAUAAAUUAGGCAAUAAAUCGGAACUAAUUGAGAAUAUAAUAUUGGGAUCAUAUUUAGAAUAAUAAAUAUAUUACAACGGGAAAGAGAUUUAUUUAUUUCAAUAGCUUCUUUAGUGAAGAUUAUAGUAAUCUAUUUAUAAAUUUUAUGAAGUGACUAUCCGAAAAAACAAAAUAUUACACAUAUCAAUGACGAUCAAUGAAAACCAUUCGAAAAUAUGCAUAAUCAAAUGAACAUAGUGCACAAUUAUGAGAGAUAUACAAAACCAAUGGAGAUUUAAAGAAUCUACUUUAUAUAAAGACAUAGAAGAAGUCAAUUGUAGAAUAUAUUAGCAGUCUUAUCAACCAAAGAAGUGGAGACAAGAUGCACAAUGUCAUGAAGCACAUGAUAACACGUGAAACGAUAGUCUCUUUCAAUAUGUUUGGUGCUUUUAUAAAUAAAUAAAAACAUUAUUAUAUGCUGUUCGGGUCCAAUUAUCAUAAUAAAUAAGUAUUUUGUUGUUAAGAUGACACAUAUAUGUCCUUUAAUAACCAUUACAAAUACAGUAAUUUUGAUGUUGUAUUAGCAAAAGCAUGAUAUUCAGCUUUCAUGCUAGAUGAAGCGACAAUGGUCUAUUUAUUGUUAUGCUAUAAGAUAAGUGAGUUACUUAGAAAGUAGUGAAGUAAUAAUCAAGAGGGUCUCCUGCCCAUCAAAUUUAGUUAAAAAGAUUGAACUAAAAAAUGAUCUCCACCCAAUCCAUUAGAAGCAGGUGAAUCACUUAGUUCAAUGGAAGAACCGCUACAUGAAUAAUGGGUAAGGGAGUCUGUCUCGGGAAAUAAACUACGAAUCCAUUAAGGCUCCCUUCGUUUCGUGAAACACAAUUUCUAGAAAAAGUAUUUUUUGGAUUUUCCGACAUUCCUUUCCUGAAAAAUGAACUAAUCGAGGAAAACAUUUUCCAUUAGCAAAAAAGAGUUUUCUAAAAUAGAGAAAAUGUUUUCCACUUUUCAAGAUGAAGAAAACAUUUUUCUUACUCAUUUUCUCUUAUCUCAUACCUAUGUUAACCUUUUCAUCUUUUUUCCUAAAAAAAUCCAAUUUUUAAUUAUUUUUCUUUUUUUUGUUUUUUUAUUUUUCUCUUUCAAGCUCGAGACUCAUUGGAAUUUGGCAAGCCUUAAGCUCACCUACGGCCAAUCACUGGCCAUCACCGUGGUUGAUCAAAAAAGAAGAAUAAAAAAAGAAAGAAAAAAUAAAAAUAAUUUAAAAAUUGAUUUUAAGAAAUAAAAAAAAUUAUUGAAAAAGAGUGCAUGGAGGAAAACAUUUUCCUUACCAAAUAACAGAAAAUAUUUUAUAAUUCAUUUUCAAAUUUCAGCUGCAAACUACAAAAUGGCUAUCUUCUUGAAAAAUGGCUUCCUAGAAAACAAUUUCUAGAAAUGUUACAUUUUCCGUGAAACAAAUAGAAUCUUAAUUAAAAAAUGAUUCGUUCGACAUAGCUUGGAGCUAGGUCUCUCUGUCCAUUGGGCAACCAAGAAUGCAAUCCUAAAGUGCCAUUAUUAUUAUUUUGCCCCCGAUUUCAAAUGCAAGUAGGCCUUCAAAAAAGGGGCUCGAAAUGUUCUUAUUUUCUUAAAUAAGAGCUCGAAGUGAACCUUAUUUCAAAUAAACGCCUGAAGUGCCAUCGUUUUAUCAAAUAAAGGACUGAAGUGAAUAUUAUUUUAAAUAAAUGCCUGAAAUGGCUAUGCCAGUUUCAAACAAUAGCCUAAAGUAAUUAUGUCUGUUUCAAAUAAGAACUUUCUCUUCUUCUUCUUCUUCUUUUUUUUCUGGUUCUUCUUCUUCCUCUUCGCCACUGGCCGAAGGGUUGGGCAAGGGUUGCCUUACCCAAUUCGAUGAGCACCACCCAUGUCGGCCACAAAUGAGGAACGGCCUCACUUGGGCGAGGCCACCCUUGCCCUGGGGGAGGCUGCCCCUUGCGGCCAUCUACAAGGGCUCGUCGACCUCAUCGGCCACGGGUGAGGGUGGCCUCGCUCACAACCGGCGAGGGCUUGCAGGCCCUUGUCGGCCAUUCCUAGCGGCCAGCAAGAUUGUUGACCCUUUGCAAUGAAAAAAGAAGAAAAAAGAAAAGAAAAUGUGGAUGAAAACUCCUUGACCAGUUGGAAAAUUUAGCCGGCCAACAACCGCCGAACUCGGGCCCUUAUUUGAAACAACAAUGGCUACAUCAGACCCUUAUUUAAAACAACCAAGACCACUUCAAGUCUUUAUUUGAAACAAGGUCUACUUCAGAUUUUUAUUUGAAAAAAUGAGGCACUUCAAGUUAGGGGUGUGCAUGGUCCAGGCGGGCGGUUCCUGAUCUAGAACCGGGAAUCGCCUGCUAAAGACCGGUUCCGAAAAAUUGGAACCGAGAUUCACUUGUUUAUUGCAUGGAUCCACAUGGGAACCGGACUGGCCAGUCCGGUUCCCAGGUGGAUCCAUGGAACCGGUCUUGACGCGAAAUAAUUUUGGUUUUCAACAAAGAACGACUAUGUAACAUCAAGGCAAGCCAAAGAAAGAAAAACCAAAUUUAAGUACGUGGAGAUGCGGACGGUGGGAGAAAUAAACGCAGCAAAAUGGCGAUAGGAUUAGGAGCCGAAGACGAAGGGAGUGAGAUGAGAUCUACGAUUUAUUUUAGUAAUUUUUUUUUUAAUAUUAAAAAGGUUCCAGUCCGGUUCGGGUGGGCGGGCGGGCGGAUCCGCCCAUGGAACUGGGAACCGGACCAUUACCCACCGGUUCCCAUAAAUUGGAACCAGGAACCGGACCAAUUCUCUCAAGAACCGCAAGUUCCGAGCAGUUCCAGUCCGGUUCCGGGCGGUCCGGGCGGUUCCCGGGUAUUUUGCACACCCCUACUUCAAGCCCUUUUUUGAAAUUUUCUCUUUAUUUUAUUUUAGGUUGCAAUUCUUGCCCAUGGACUGAACUAAAAUAUACUCUUUUUCUCUCUCUCUUUUUCCACUUAAAAAAGCCGCUUGAUCAAAUAUGAUUUAUCUUGAGCAAAUGCACCUUGAAUCAAGGGGAAAUGACUUCGCAUUUCUUCAGAAGUCUUCCAAAUAAAGUCAACUAUUAUGCAUCUAAUUUUUUUAAUCAAUAUUUGUUACUAAUAGGUAUUCCAAAUAAAAUCAACUUAAUAAAUUUUCUUAUUUUUAAUUAAUAUUUUUUACAAAUAGGUAUUUCAAAUGAAGUCAACUCAAUAAAUUAGUAAAAAAAUUACAGAAAAACGAAAAAAUUAACUCAACCAAAAUAGAAUAACUACUCAAAGUACCUUUACUUUAAAAUAUAAAUAAGAGUGCACAAAUUGCCAAAACAUCAUUACAAAUGAUAAAUUGAAGAAUUAAAAAUGAUAAAAAUUGAUACACCCCUUCCAUACAAAGGGUGCUCAGACCGUCAACUUUUAUUUAGAGAUCACCGAAACAGUGCUUUACCCCUAGAUGUCCUAGUGCGUUUAAAAUUCUAAACUCAUGGCAAAAGUGUAACUAAAAUUUAAAAUUUUAGAUAAUAUAAUCAAAUCCGAAAAUUUACCAAAUUGAAGCAAUCAAAAUUUAAGAUGCUUAAAAUAUUACUAUAAUAUAAAUCAAUAAUAUGUGUUGUGUUGAAUGCUAAACGCGAGACAAAUCGUUGAUGCAUGAUAUCACUCAUUGAUUGUGUAGAAUUUAGGCAACAUUUUUUCUUUUUUAAUUUGAAACUUAGGCAACAGUUCAAUAAGCGGAUUUGAUAAUUACAACGAUCCCCAUAAUUGUUUCAUCAAUAUGUGAUGGAUGGAAAGUGAAAAAAAAAAUAGAAAAAGGAGUAAAAAGAGAAUAAAUACAUAACAUUUUUUUUCAUAGUGUGGUGUUACUGAACUUGAUGUUGACCGAGAGCAACUAAAUUUCCACAAGGUGUCCAGACUGCAGCAUUAAUUUUACUACAUAUUCUCCUUGGGAGAAAAUAUUGGUUGUGCAGAUUGUGCCAGCGUAACAAAUUGAAAGCUCAUCCAUUGAGCAACAUGUGUUCAUCUUCUUGCCCUCUCUCUAUUCUCCCACUUUUUUGCAAGCCACGGAUGCCUCUCUCCUCCAUAAACCCCUUCUCCUUCGGCCCUCCCCCUCACUUGCACGGGGCACAACAACGUUAUUCAACCCACCUCUCCUUCACUUGAGCUCGACCUUUGUGCCUCCCCCACCGACAACAGUUCCACCAUUGAAAUCUUCCACUGUCCCCGCAGCCCUUGGAUCCAAGAACAAGCCUAAGUCUCCCGUGCUCCUUGUUAUCACUCACGAGCCCAAGUCCCUCCACAUCUUCGGGAUUUGACAAGGGCUCAGUCCUUGCCAGAUUCAGCACGAGCGACCCUUGCCCUAGCUGGGGGCGUCAACCUCAUCGAAUCCUCUUGUCAAAUUCGGCGAGAGCGACCCUGGCUUGUGGGUCAAGUACUGGCCAUAGGUCAAAGGGAAAGAAAGUAAUUAAAAAAAAAGAAGGUAGGAAUGGCAAAGAAGAAGAAGAGAAAUGGAGGUGUGAUUCUGCAAGAGGAGAGAAACAAAGGAAGAAUAGUAUGAUAAGUAAGUUUUUUAGGGACACAUAUCACUCAAUGGAUGGGCUUUCAAUUUGUUGCAUUGGCACAACUUGUGCGGCCAAUAUUUUCUCCAUGUCUUGAUAUGGUUUAAAAAUAAGUAAAUGCUCGGCCCAUGAACGCAUGCGUGUCCAUACACAUGUUUUCACAAUUUUAUUAGUAUCAGCUAUAUGAGAUUGUGCUAUAAAUAUAAUAACGCAAAGAGGCCUAAAAUCGGAAAAGCUCACCUAGAGAAACCCCGCAUUAUCUUGAAUCAAUCCCCUGGAAUGGGAAUGGAAGCUUUCUUGGCAUCGUUUGGUUGAUUGGAGCGAGGUGGAAUGGAAAUAAAAUUGGGAAUAAAUUCAUUACUGCAUUUUUCGUUGACACGUGGGAAAGUGGAAAUGAGCGAUAAGGCAUGGGAAUGAGUUGACAGUCAAGGGUAAAUUGACAUGUGCACUAAGCUUUGUAUUUGGUUACUGUUGUUUGGACAUAAUAUGGCAAACAUACUUACCUAAUUUACUAUUAUAUAGCAAUUUAAAACGAUAAAAUUCCACCCAUUACUACAUACGUUCUAAUUCCAAUGUAUUACCAAAUGCAGUGAUCUUCAAAUCAAUCGCUAUUCUGAUUCACUACAAGCAAUUCCAUUCCCUUCAAAUUAUCUCUUGCUUAUGUAACAAAUGGGCCAAAGAAACAAGUUAAAACUCAUAUGGACAACAUCCUCAUCUAAAAUUAAGAACAUAUCAAAGUGCAUGAACCGCAAAAAUUAAGACCAUGAGCGCACGCAUGUCUAGUCUGUCUAAUUCUAUAUGUAUAUAGUGGUAGAUAUGUCCAAUAUGACCUCACUACGUACAUCCAAUUUCCACUCUGGAAAACGUAAUUAAUUGUUUAGGCUUGUUCUUCGCUACUUAUUUUUCCUCCAAUUGUCUUCAUGUUACCUCUUUUGGAAGCAUUCAGUUGAUCUACAUGCAUUGUUUGGAUAUGAAGAAAUGUUUUAAUAGUUCAGUUUUCAUAAAAAUAUACCAGCUCGAGAUUAUCAAUGGUUCGUGUAUAUGUAAUCUUGUGUACUCAAACUAGCUAAACUCGAAUGAUGUUCCAAUUUGGAUCUAAAAUACCAUUGCCGGAUAAUUUCAAUGGAAUGCCAUCAAAUUGUUUUCCCCUAAUGCUACGUUAAAGUACGUAUUGCAUAACUUAGAUACUUUUACCCAAAAUCAUUCCGAAAAAAAUAUAUCAGGACAAAUUCAGAAGUUUUAUAGGCGAUAAUCGUGGAUUAAUAUAGUUUCGUUCCAUUCUUAUAGGAACUAUCCAAAGGAAUUCAUUUCUUCACGUGGAAAGCAAACUCUGCCUUUUUUAGUCAAUUGUUGACUUGGCUUUUGAUUAAUUAUACAUGACUAAAUUCAUUUUUGCUCAAGGUUUGCUGUUUGACAUAUAAUAUCAAAAAUAUAUUUCAAAACUUCACCGCUACAUAUUUACAAUACCCCGCAACAUUGCACGAGAAGUAGCAAGCUUGUGCGGUUCACAUUCCCCUCUGAGCACCUGGGAAAGCCUACUCUCCCGUCUAAAACUGUACAAUUAAAUUAGGUCAAUAUAUCCAACUUCCAUGAUUUUAGGUAUGUGAAUGUGAAUACACCAGUUGCCAAAUGUAGGAAACAAAAGAAAAAGGAAAUAAGUUAACCACACGGGCAGGAUUGAGAGAUGUGUAUUUUUGCAAGCUACGUAAUGUCUCCGAAUAUAUAGUCAUGAGAUACGGUCCACAAACAAAUGCAAGACCAUACAGUAUCCAUUUUCCCAUUUGGGACACAUAAUCAACUAGGCAUAUUGCUACAUUAUUCAAUUGCAUUCAUUUAACUAUAUGGUAAUUUAGUGUGGGAUGGCGUACACAUUGCAUCAUAUAAUGUACAUGGAAAUUUCAAUAUUGUUACCAGUACCCACAUGAUCUCAUGAGAUAAUAUUUCGAACAAUCUUCUAAAUCUUCUUGAUAUAUAUGCCAUGCACUUGGUACCAAACUAAAAAGCAUUCCGCAACUCUCCCGUUAUAUAAACAUAGUCGACUCGCUAUGUUGUACUUAAUUAGUACGUCUAUAAUGGGGUGUGAUGAGAACGUACCAUUUCGUCUUGAUAUGCUACGAUGGAAAAACAUAUAAAAGACUCCUAAAGACAACCGUUAAGCGUGUUGACAGAACACCGUUGAGCAUGUUGGCAGAAUGUACGCUCAAAGAGAAAGUUUUCAUUUUCUUGUCCCAUUUCCAUCAAAAGAAAAAGAAGCAUUUCAUUUCUCUUUUACGAGAACAAUUGACAUUUACGCUGUGGAAACUUUCCUCGUGAUUGCAUUUAGACCAACGUGAAGUAUUUUUGUUCGUGAUUCAUUCGUAAUUUAACGAUUGUUCCGCAGUAAAUUGUUGACUGCACAUCGAGAAUAGGUAUGUCGUCUUCCGCUGACUUUCUUCCAACACGCUAUAUUACUAUCUUUACGAGAUUUUGGAGAAUUGAAGUCACAAUGUCAUCCAAUAGCAGGGGAUCGAGGAGCAAGAAAAACAUAUUUAGCAAAGCAUGGAACGUGCUCAAGGGGAAACGGGGAUCUCACGAAGCCUCAUCAAGCAGGACCUAUCGGGAUGCCGCCACGUCACCGGCGAGCUCACUGGCAGAGCCUCAAUGGAACUAUUGGGACGCCACCACGUCCCUGGUGAGCUGGAGAUCCUCGAGCAAGUCCCAGUCACGAGCGAGUUCUCGGAAAAGCUUUGAGAAGAGCUCACCGGUCGAGUCUCGGCGGAGAUCCUCGAGCGUCAGUCAAAGCGACGACCAUUAUCACAAUUCUGGUGAAGAAGAUCCAUGGCGAGCAAGCUACAGGCAUGGCGCUCUGGCCUAUUCCGGUGGUUACAAUCAAGGGCAAGUGAGAUCGUACCCGCGACCACCCCAGCAGGAAUAUGAUUAUUCUUAUCACACUAGCAAAGGGCAGUAUUAUUCUCGAGGUCUUGACAAUGUCAAUAGUUACAUCCGCGACGACGCGUCCGUUCCAUCAUUUCUGCCCCCGCAAACUUCUUAUGGUUAUCACCAUCCAUCCGAGUCUCCCUCGAAUAAUUGUGCGGUGAUGUGAGAUGCCUAAUAUAGUGUGGCUAUAGUUGCUAUUUACUAAUAUCCGGUGAAGUACGGGAUGAGCUAGGGGCAUGGUUGAGCCUUUGGUUUGUUAGCUUUCGCUUGUGAAUCUCAGUGAAGUUUCUUGGGAGAUUGAUUGAAAUGGCUUUGCCAGUUAAUGAAGAUUAUAUAUUUAUUUUAUGAAGUUUCAUCUAGUUCGUAGAUGCUAAAAAGUUCUAUUAAAAUUUUACUAAAAUUAAGGGCACUUAAUUCCAUCAAUUGUCUAGGGUUCUACUUCUAUGGAUAGAUGUUCUCUCACCAAUCAUUUAUCACAAAAACUAAACCAAAUGAUAAACGAUUUAUAAAAAUAGUUUAAAAAGAAAAAGAAAAUUGGCCACGCCAUUCUUGAAAAUUCUUCAUUCUUCAAGGAAGACCUUUAAGGAUCCAAGCUUUCUUGUGAUCCUACGUGUUCAAACUUCAAGUAGCUUUGAAUGUGUAGAUAUACAUUGAAAUUCGUCUUUCCAGAUGUUUAUGGCAUCUCCAUUGAGAUGCAUAUACAUGGAGGAGAAACUUUUCAAGCUCAUCCAUUUAAAAAUUGGGCUCCUUGCUUGAUGAAAUUCAGUGGACGAAGACGAGAGAAAGCGUUUCCAGUUAAAAAGAUCAAAACCGAAAAUAUCUCCACUCAGUCCGUCGCAAGUAAUUGAAUUGUUGAUAUAUCGACAUAAUAAUGAAGAAGGAAAUGUUAGAUUAAAUGUAAACUAAAACACGACGAUCCCGAUUAUCAAUCACAAAUAAAUUCAUACAGAAUUCAGGAUCGAUUUGCAAAAACGUAAAGAUCAACAUACCUCCGGCCAUUGAUGAAAAUUUGCAAAAACAGAAAACUUCAAAACCUUAGACGGAUCCACGUAGCACGAUUGAUCUUCAAUAUGGAGAACACUAGAUAUGUACGUCAUGUUCUACUAGCCAUUACCCCUCAAACCUAAUGUGUGUUUUCUAUAGUGAUAGGGUUUGAACUAGAUGAUUUUGUUCCAACUCUUAGACAUCUUCCAUCAAAACCGUUAUUGAUAACUCUAUAAAAAUAGAGUUAUUUGACCUAUUUUAGGCAACAAUUAAUGCAUUAUCUAUGAAAAAAUAUUUGGAUUUCCUUUUGAUUAUUUGAAUUUUCCUUGUUUAUGCAGAAUAAUAAGAUAUGGAGAAGAUAAGGAAAAGAAUGGCAAUUAUCAGUAAUUCAAAUAAAAGCGGUAGUGGAAAAGUGGAAAUAUCAAAUCAGGAAAUUCUUGAUUUUAUUCCCUAAUGUUAUCUAUAAGCAUUGGGAGAUAGAUAUUUUAGAUUUCCUAUAAAUAGGAAGAGAGACAGCUAGGGUUUUUAGGGUUGGAGUUAGAUCGUUUUUCAUUCUUCUGAGAGUUUUUUCAGAUCGUUUUUCAUUCUUCUGAGAGUUUUUUCAAGUAUUUUGAAGAAAAGACAAAAGUGGUGACAGAAUUCUUGUCCUUUGAUUCAAGAUGCUAGGUUUGAUCUAUAUUUUUAUUUUUAUUUCUUAUUCUACUAUGUUCUAAUUUUCUUUUGUUAGGGCUACGAUGUAGCCUAACCAUGAUAAUAUGAAUUUCAUGAUUUUUAUAUUUUACAAUUGAUUUUAUUCAUGUGAGUUAUAUAUUAUUGCGUUUAAUGCUUUUGAAUGACUGGCCACCACUUGAAUGAUUUGAUGUGCAUGUUUGAGACUGAGAGGUGAUAAUAUGCAAUUGCUCAUUAUAAUAUAUAACCAUGAAUUAAACGUGGAUAGAAAUAACCGCGUUAUUUGUGUAACUUUCGGUGAUAAGGUGAUCCAAAAGACUCAUUGUAAACCGGGAAUAUUCAUAGUUUUUAAUGCACUCAUGUUUAUUUUAAUUCACAUAGAGAUAUAGUGGAUUAAUAAGCUGAGUAGGUUUGCUAUACCUAGAGAUAGGAUAGUAAAUAGAUUAGGAAAUUCCGCUAUCACAUGUUUGAUAUCGUUCUUGUAUUCACAAUAAUCUGAAAUUCAUAUCUAGUGGUUAUGGUGAAAUCGGAUGCUUUAACAUAUUUAUCUGAUUGAUUUUAUUGCAUUUAGUCUUCAAGUUUUGUUUUUAAUUUAUUCUAAAUUAUAUUUUGAUUUGUUAGAUAAAUUUUAGAAUUAAUCUAUUUUAGUAUUUCAUUAGUUUAUUAAUCAUCGAUCUCCGUGGGACGAUACUUUUUCUCAUCAUUAUAUUACUUAUUCGAUACGUGCACUUGCGUUUAGAAUUUCACGAACAGUUAUGGUAACAUAUUAACGGGCAAAUAUCACAUAAUAGAUGUGGGUGAUAAAUUGGAAAAUAAAUCGAAACUAAUUGGGAAUAUAAUAUUGGGAUCAUAUUUAGAAUAAUAAAUAUAUUACAACAGGAGAGAGAUUUAUUUAUUUCAAUAGCUUCUUUAGUGAAGAUUAUAGUAAUCUAUUUAUAAAUUUUAUAAAGUGACCAUCCGAAAAAACAAAAUAUUACACAAAGUAAUGACGAUCAAUGAAAACCAUUUGAAAAUAUGCAUAAUCAAAUGAACAUGGUGCACAAUUCUGAGAAAUAUACAAAACCAAUGGCUAUGAAGCACGGACACGUUGCCCGUGCUUCUGUGUCGUGUCUGACAUGUGUCGGAGCGUGUCGGACACGUCGACAUGCUCGGACACGCUCGGACACGCGGUCAACUUUUCUUGACACGCGUGUCAAUGCGUGUCCGGAAGACUCCGGGUGGAGGCGAGGGAGGGGGAGGGAGCAAAGGCCGCGAGCAACGGUGAGAGAUGGCCAGAGAGAGGAAGAGAAGAGGAAGGGAUCGAGGCCCGAGGGGGCGGUGGCGGCGACGGCAUCUCCUCCUCCUCAGCGUCGCGUCCACUCCAUCGUCGGAAGUUGAGAAACGAUACGAGGUGCGAAAGAGGGGAGUGAGGUCUGCUGUCUGCGUGUUUGUCUUGGUCCAAUGUUUUUUGUGCGAGCAGUAGAAGGAGGAAAAAGAGGGUCGCUAGGGUUUGUGAUAAUGGAAUAAAAAAUAAUAAAAAGAGGGGGACGAUGGCGUGUCUUUUGAGUUUUGGGGGAGGGGAAGUGAGGCUAACAGCUUGUCUGUCAGUGGUUUCGGGAGGGAAAAAAGUAAAAUAAGUUUGGGGUGGAGGGAAAUGGACAAAGAAAAGAAAGAGUGGAUUUGGGAAUUUUUUUUUUAUAGAAAAAUUAAAUAAAUGAAAUUGAAAAAUAAUUUCGAAAAGUAAAAGUAUUGAAUUUUGAAUAAUCAUAAAUUUUGAUCAUUCUAAAAAAUCAUGAAUUUAUUAUUAGUUUUAUCAAUAACUUUUGUUAAAAUUAAAAACAUGUUUCGCCUUAAUUAUGAAUAUAUCUUUCGAAUUUUAAAUGAAUUGAUUUAUUAAUAUUAUUAGUAUAAAUUUAUUAUAGGCUUUUUUAAUUAAUUAAUUAUUUAUGAAUUUGAAUCAAAUUAAUUAAAAAUAAAAAUAUACAUUUAAUAUUUAACGCGUCGCAAUGUGUCGGAAUUUUCUAUUUUUUAUAAAUGACGUGUCGACGUAUCGUGUCGUGUCGGACACUCAUGUCGUGUCGCGUGUCCGUGCUACAUAGACCAAUGGAGAUUAAAAGAAUCUACCUUAUAUAAAGACAUAGAAGAAGUCAAUUGUAGAAUAUAUUAGUAGUCUUAUCAACCAAUGAAGUGGAGACAAGAUGCACAAUGUCAUGAAGCACGUGAAACGAUAGUUUCUUUCAAUAUGUUUGGUGCUUUCAUAAAAAAAUAUAUAUUAUUAUAUGCUGUUCGGGUCCAAUUGUCAUGAUAAAUAAGUAUUAUGUUGUUAAGAUGACACCUAUAUGUCUUUUAAUAACCAUUACAAAUACAAUAAUUUUGAUGUUGUAUUAGCAAAAGUGUGAUAUUCAGCUUUCAUGCUAGAUGAAGCGACGAUGGUCUAUUUAUUGUUAUGCUAUAAGAUAAGUGAGUUACUUAGAAAGAAACAAUAGCCUGUAGUGAAGUAAUCAUCAAGAGCGUCUCCUGCCCAAUGAGUGUCCGAUUUAGUUAAAAAGAUUGACUAAAAACUGAUCUCCACCCUAUCCAUUGAAAGCAGGUGAAUUACUUAGUUCAAUGGAAGAACCGCUACAUGAAUAAUGGGUAAGGGAGUCUAUCUCGGGAAAUAAACUACGAAUCCAUUAAGGCUCCCUUCAUUUUGUGAAACACAAUUUCCAGAAAAAGUAUUUUUUGGAUUUUUCGAUAUUCCUUUCCUGAAAAAUGAAUUAAUCGAGGAAAACAUUUUCCAUCAGCAAAAAAGAGUUUUCUAAAAUAGAGAAAAAAAUUUCUACAUUUCAAGAUGAAGAAAACAUUUUUCUUACUCAUUUUCUCUUAUCUCAUACCUAUGUUAACCUUUUCAUCUUUUUUCCUUAAAAAAUCAAUUUUUUAAUUAUUUUUCUUUUCUUUUUCUUGUUUUUCUCUUUCGAGCUCGAGACUCAUUGGAAUUUGGCAAGCCUUAAGCUCGCCUACGGCCAAUCGCUGGCCAUCACCGUGGUGGAUCAAAGAAGAAGAAUAUAAAAAUAAAUAAAAAUAAAUAAUAAAUAAUAAAAAUAAUUUAAAAAUCGAUUUUAAGAAAUAAAAUAAAUAAAAAAUUAUUGAAAAAGAGUGCAUGGAGGAAAAAAUUUUCCUUACCAAAUAAUAGAAAAUAUUUUAUAAUUCAUUUUCAAAUUUCAGCUGCAAACUACAAAAUAUGGCUAUCUUCUUGAAAAAUGGCUUCUAGAAAAAAAUUUCUGGAAAUGCUACAUUUUUCAUGAAACAAAUAGAAUCUUAAUUGAAAAAUGAUUCGUUCGACAUAGCCUGGAGCUAGGUCUCUCUGUCCAUUGGGCAACCAGGAAUGCAACCCUAAAGUGCCAUUAUUAUUAUUUUGCCCCCGAUUUCAAAUGCAAGUAGGCCUUCUAUUUAUUUUAGGGAAAAUUCCAAAAAAGGGGCUCGAAGUGUUCUUAUUUUCUUAAAUAAAAGCUCGAAGUAGACCUUGUUUCAAAUAUAACGCCUGAAGUGCCAUUAUUUUAUCGAAUAAGGGACUGAAGUGAAUAUUGUUUUAAAUAAGGGCCUGAAAUUACUAUGCCAGUUUCAAAUAAUAGCCUAAAGUAAUUAUGUCAGUUUCAAAUAAGAACUUUCUCUUCUUCUUUUUUUCUUUUUUCUCUCCUUUUUUUUUUGUUCUUCUUCUUCCUUUUUGCCAAUGACCGAAGGGUUGGGCGAGGGUCAUCGUUACCCGAUUCAAUGAGCGCCACCCAUGUCGGCCACAAAUGAGGAAUGGCCUCACCUGGGCAAGGCCACCCUUGCCUUGGGGGAGGCUGCCCCUUGCGGCCAUCUACAAGGGCUCGGUGACCUCAUCGGCCACGGGCGAGGGUGGCCUCACUCACAAUCGGUGAGGGCUUGCAGGCUCUUGUCGGCCGUUCCUAAUGGCUAGCAAGAUCAUUGACCCCUUGCAAUGAAAAAAGAAGAAAAAAGAAAAGAAAAUUUGGAUUAAAACUCCUUGAUCAGUUGGAAAAUUUAGCCAGUCAAUAACCGCCGAAGUCAGGCCCUUAUUUGAAACAACAAUGGCUACAUCAGAUCUUUAUUUAAAACAAUCAAAGCCACUUCAAGUUUUUAUUUGAAACAAUAUCUAUUUCGAAUUUUUAUUUAAGAAAAUGAGGCACUUCAAGUCAUUUUUUGAAAUUUUCUCUUUAUUUUAUUUUAGGUUGCAAUUGUUGCCCGUGGACUGAACUAAAAUAUACUCUCUCUCUCUCUCUCUCUUUCCACUUAAAAAAGCCGCUUGAUCAAAUAUGAUUUAUCUUGAGCAAAUGCACCUUGAAUCAAGGGGGAAAUGACUUCGCAUUUCUUCAUAAGUCUUCCAAACGCAAGUGCUCAUUUCAACAUUUGCAUCAAGAUUUCUAACCUUUCUGUUUCGAGAAACUAUAGUUACUGCGAUUUUUCUUUUCGUUUUUUAUUUUUUAAAAAAAAGUCAAAGCCACACGGUGCAUCACGUUGACCCAUCAUCAGUCAACGCAUGCCGAUCGGCAGGCGCUGUCCAUGUCCCGACCUCAUCGUCAUAAGCGACUAAUGUAAACCAAGCGACAACCAUCGAUCUUCGAAGGAGAAGACUUCACAGAUUGGGGCUUCUUCCGUCGGCGAUCGUCUUCACUUCCUCUCCAAAUCGCUUCCGUCUUCUCCAGGCACCCUGAAAAUUCCCCAUGGCGACGGCGCUUGUCGGCGGAGCAUUUCUCUCCGCUUUCCUCCAGGUGCUCUUCGACCGGAUGGCCUCCCGCGAGGUCGUCGACUUCUUCCGGUCACGCAAGCUCGGCAAGGGGAGGCUGCUGCAGAAGCUGGAGGUCGCCCUCCUGUCCGCGAACGCCGUGCUGGACGACGCGGAUGAGAAGCAGAUGACCAACGACUCCGUCAGGAAGUGGCUCGACGAGCUCAAGGACGCCGUGUACGACGCCGACGACCUGUUCGACGAGAUCGCCGCCGAGGAUCUGGAGCGAGAAGCCGGGUCCGACCCUCGGGCCCUCGCUUGUAAGGUCUGCAGCUUCGCUUCGGACGCUUGUGCGAGUGGACUAGGAGAUAAGUUAGAGAAGGUUCUGGAGAGAUUGGAGAGCGUGGUGAAGCAGAGAGAAGUGCUGGGCCUAAGGGAAGGUAUUCGCGAGAGGACGCCUAGAGCUUUGCCGACCACUUCGUUGGUCGAGGAAUCGGGCGUCUUCGGGAGGGAGAAGGACAGGGAGGCGGUGAUCGAGUUGCUCUUGUCGGAUCGGGGUGAAAAGAACACCAGCGUGAUGGCCAUAGUUGGGAUGGGUGGUGUUGGUAAGACCACGUUGUCCCAGCUCGUGUUCAACGAUAGUGCGGUGAAGGGGAGUUUCGAGUUGAGGUCGUGGGUUUGCGUGUCCCACCAAUUCGACAUCUGCAAGCUGACGGCGACGGCUCUCGAGGAAUUCUCCUCUUCCAAGAAGGAGACGGAAAAUCUCAACCAGCUUCAGCUCCAACUGAAGAACUUCUUGACAGGGAAGAAAUUCCUAUUGCUGUUGGAUGAUGUUUGGAAUGAGGACUCAAAUAUUUGGAAUGCGUUCCUAGUUCCUUUUAGCUAUGGAGCAAGAGGCAGCAAAAUCAUCGUGACACCAAGAAAUGAGGGCGUCGCAUUGGUUGCUCGUGCCUUCUCGACAUACUAUUUACAGAAGUUACAAGACAAGGAAUGUUGGGACUUGUUCGCACAACAUGCAUUUGAAGAGCAUAACUUCGAGGCGCACAUGAGACUUGAAGAUAUUGGGCAAAGAAUUGUUAAGAGAUGUGAUGGAUUGCCUCUUGCACUGAAGACUAUAGGUAGCUUGUUACGCUAUGAGUCUGAUAUCAGGAAGUGGGAAAUAAUUGCAGAGAGUGAUAUUUGGGAUUUGGCACCUGGAAAGAAUGAAAUUCUCCCUGCGUUGUUGUUAAGUUAUCAUUACCUUCCUCCACAACUGAAGCAAUGUUUUUCCUACUGUUCAAUCUUCCCAAAGGAUUGUAGAUAUGAGAAGGACCAACUGAUCUUACUUUGGAUUGGUGAGGGCUUGAUAAAACAACCUAAGGACAGCAGGACAUUAGAGGAAGUAGGUGAUCAGUGCUUCUGUGAUCUAGUGUCUAGAUCUUUGCUUCAUAGAGUAAGCAACGUUGAAUCAAGUUUCUGGAUGCAUGAACUGGUCAAUGACUUAGCAAGAUAUGUAGCUGGUCGAUCUUUUUAUAGCUUGGACAGAGUCAAUUCCCACCAGGUGUCCUCAAGCACUCGCCAUUUGUCAUUUGUAAGAACUCGAUAUGAUGUCGCUUCUAGAUUCGGAGUGUUAGCCGGGGCAAUGAAUUUGCGUACUUUCCUGCCACUAAACGUGGAUCACGUGACAUCUAACGCGUACUUUUUCUUGACUGAUGAGGUACUGCAUGUUCUGUUGCCGACCUUGAGUCGGUUAAGGGUGCUAUCUUUGUCUCAUUAUCAGAAACUCUCUAUGUUGCCCAGUUCAGUUGGAUGUUUGAAGCAUCUGCGCUAUUUGAAUCUCUCUUAUAAUAGAAGUCUAGCCAGAUUGCCUGAUUCAAUUACUGCUCUAUACAACUUGCAAACCUUAAUUCUUGCUUACUGUCAGUCUCUCAUUGAGUUACCAAGAAACAUGGGUAGCCUAACCUGUCUGCAUCAUCUUGAUAUAAGGGAGACAUUCCUGAAGAGAAUACCGUUGGGGAUGAGCAAACUGAAGAAUUUGCAGACAUUAACUAAUUUCGUGGUGGCUGAAAACGGUGGGACCAGGGUUAGGGAACUAGGGGAGCUUGGGAAUCUUAUGGGUACACUCUCCAUAUAGGGUUUGCAGAAUGUUGAUAGUUACCAAGAUGCAGAGAUAGUCGAUUUGCAGGGAAAAAGGUACUUGAAAAAGUUAGUACUGGAAUGGGGUUCUGAUAAAAAUAUUAUGCAGCAAAAUUGCUUAAAUGUAUUGGACAAGCUGCAACCUCAUUGGAACUUGACAGAGCUUAUCAUUAUAUCCUAUAGUGGUAAGUCGUUCUCUGAUUGGCUAGGACAUGGUUCAUUCUCUAAUAUGUCAGUCAUGCGUCUUGAAUCUUGCAAGCACUGUGUGUCGUUGCCUCCUUUAGGACAGCUACCAUCUCUAGAGAAGUUGAUAAUCAAAGGAUUUGAUGGAGUUACAAGUGUGGGUACUGAAUUCAAUGGUAGUAACUGUAUACCUUUUCAGUCACUUAAGUACUUGGAAUUUGCUGACAUGUGCAGUUGGAAAGAGUGGGCUUCUUUUGCAAUAGAGACGGGUGGUCUUGCCUUUGCACAUCUGCAUGAGCUUUGUAUUAGAAAUUGCCCCGAGUUGAGUGGAGGUUUGCCCAACCAUCUCCCUUCUCUAUCAGCCUUGUCCAUUGAAAAGUGUCCACAGCUAACGUCUUCUCUACCAUUUGCACCACUUCUUCGUAAGAUCAAUUUGGAUGAUUGUGGAAAGGUUUCUGGAGUUGAGCCUCUCCUAAAUGGCACUGAGUUACGAGAUAUGGAAAUCAAGAAUCUUUCAACCCUUCCCUUGAGGUUUCUUCCUCCUACCAUGAUAAGACUCAAUCUUGAAGACAGUCAUGAAAUAGAGUUGCCAAUACAUAGAUGCCAUGAAUCUCUCCAAUAUCUAAACUUGAAGCAGAGCUGCGAUUCACUUAUAUCCAUUCCUCUGGAAAUUUUCCCCUCACUUAAGAAUAUUCAGUUAGUGGAGAUUCAAAAAUUGGAACAUCUUUCAAAUUCAGACAGUUCUCCACUUCUUCUCCAUUCGAUGAACAUUAGUGAUUGCCUUGAAUUUAGAUCUUUCCCUGCGGGAGGAUUGGUUGCCCCACGCCUCACUUCAUUAGAGUUGAAUGAUUGUCAUCAUCUAAAGUAUCUGCCAGAAAACAUGCAUGCUCUCCCUCCUUCGCUUCGGUCACUGAAAAUAUCCUCAUGUCCACAACUCGAGUCAUUUCCCGAGCAGGGUUUGCCCUCCAAGUUGGUUGCGCUUUCACUCUCUAAUUGUGACAAGCUCAUCACUGGCCGCAAGGAUUGGGGUCUUCAAUCACUAUGCUCUCUUAAAACUUUUGUCAUUGAGCAGGAGAAAAAUAUAGAGUCAUUUCCUGAGAUAGGGCUUCUACCAAGCUCUCUUACCUCUCUGUAUAUCUUUAACUUUGAGAAUCUGACAUCCCUGAACUCCAAAGGGCUUCAUAGCCUGAGCUCCCUUGAAAAAUUGUUCAUUGGCGAAUGUCCUAAGCUCCAUUCCUUCCCAAAGGAGGAACAAAUUCUGCCUGCUUCUCUUACCACUCUGUUGAUUUAUGAUAUGGAUCUAAAAUCACUAGACAACUUAGGGCUCCACCACCUCACUUGUCUCAAAACCUUUCACAUAAUUGACUGCCGAAGUCUUCGAUCCAUGCCAGUUGAGGGCUUGUCAUCCUCCCUUUCCAAUCUAUUUAUCUAUGGGUGUCCUUUUCUGGAGAAAAGAUGCCAACGCAAGAAAGGGAAAGAUUGGCCCCUAGUUUCUUACAUUCGCUGCAUCGUGAUUGAAGAUGUGCUCAUCACAUAAUCGAAUAUCUUGCUUUACAAGCCCUGCAUUUACCAAGAUCUCACUAGGGUAUCUCUCUUGACCCUACACUAAGUAAGCCAUUUAUAUAUUCACAACAUGCUUCAGUCGCACUGUGGUCAAGCAGUACCAUCUGGCUGUAUUUGCCGCAAGCCACUCUGGUAACACUCCACAAUGGAAGUUAUUUGUAGUUUCACCAGCUUUCCAUUCUUGUUCCUACUAUCGGGCUGCAUGAUUUGUUUAUCGGUUGCCGAGUUAUUUAGCUGGAUCAUCUGUUUUUCAUUUGUUUAUUGGUUGCCGAUUUAUUUAGUUGGAUCAUCUGCUUUUCCCCUUCUCCAUUCUCUCUAUAUAAAUCACACUCCCAUACUUCAGCUGAGCAUCUGUCACGGUCCUUUAUACUCUCACUGGAAAUGAUAAUUCCAUUGGUUACUUUUUGGUCAUCAUCAAGUUAUUUCAGCUUUAGAACCUCACUCCAUAUCACCGAUUGUCACACCUACAAAUGCCAACUCAUGGAACUGUUUGUGCAUGAGCUAACUAAUGUAAAUAGAGCAAAGAGAUUCGUGGCCAUAUGAAGAAGGCCUAGCCUUGAUUAGGCUAUCCAGAUGAAAUUAUUUUUUCACAAACCCUGUGGCACAUCCUCAAGUUAUAGAGAGAGUAAAUUUGCUCUUAUUGACAGAUGCUUUCUGUUGUCUAAAGCCUUAUAAUAUUGCAAGGGAGACAUAAAUUCUUAAGGACAGGCAUGACUCAUGACUGACCUCUAUUCCACUUGCCAGAACAGUGUGGUAUCGUGGGUGUAGUAUAUUUCUGUUUGCUUUGUAUUUUUAUUUGUCCAUUUCAGCUUAACAUCACUCUAAUGCUGUACAGUUUAACAAUUUCCCUGCCUACACGUGGAAUUCUGAUCCAUAGAAUGUGAAAAUUGAACAGUAUUAGAUGCAAGUGACCCGGCAUUUUGUAGUGGCAUAUCCACUUUUGUCACUAAUUAUAUCACGACAUCAACUAAAUCCAAACUGAAGGACUAAAAAUGCAAUUCGAUCAAAAUAUAUGGACCUAUUGUAACUUACCCUAUUUUGAGAGAAUAUCGUUACUUUCGAGUAGACCUGUUAAACGGGUGGGUUGGGUCGGGUUUGGGUCGGGUCAUAAAUGG